UAAAGACAAAUUACCAGCUUCAAUAGAAUUCCUUGCAGCAAGUCUAAAAUCAUUGACAAUUUGUGGAAUUUCAUCUGUCCUUAAUCGUCUUGGAGGCGUGAAUUCAGAAGCAUCGAUGCCAUUUAAUCGUAUCGGCUUGUCAGUAGAAGUUAUUGGAGCUUGCCCAUUUGGUUGAUAACCUGUAAGCAAGGAGAGAAAGAAUUAUAACCUGAAGUCUAACGACAGUAACUAACAUCCACAGCAGCACUCUUUUAAGUGGGAAUCCUUUGUUACAAAUUACUAUAACCACACGUGCUAUAUACUAGUUCUGAAUUCUGAGUUAUGUUAACAUCAAACUUCUUCCCAUCCAAUAAUAAUAAAGGAACUUUAACGAAAAACUCCCGGUAUUGUUCACUUUAAUGAAAAACUACAUUUUUACACUAAAAAGUUAAUCCUGGUAUUAUUCACUUUACCCUUUAUUUUUUCCUUAUCAUUAAAACUCAAAGUUUUCAAGCCAUUUUCAUUAGUUUUCCUUAAUAAUAAUACAAAUGCUUCCGAAACAGCAAGGUCAUAAGAGUGGUGUCUUCUUAUGGGUUAUGUUAAAAACACCAACUCGGAACUUAACAAGUCCAAGUUUUAUCGUCAUUUGAGCAACAAUGUUGUCAAUUAUAAUCACUCGCUCGUUCUGAUGCAUACACCAUUAUGUUAUACAUCAAACUUCUGAAUAGGUCUAAUUAUUCACUCAUGUUAACAAAGCAUUCUAUGGUAAAAGUGAGGUCAUAAAGGUGUAAGUCAGAAACGCACUGCUAUUAGAAACCCUUCCAACAUGCCAAAUCUGACAGAAGAAGACGCCACCUUUAGCAUGAACAGCAUCAACAAUGGGUUUCCAGGCUUCAACUUGCUCCAUUGUCCAUAUACCAGGUGUGUUCGGGUACCUUCGUAUAUUAAAGAACCAAAAAUUUCAUCAAACUUUGAAACGAAAUAAACGCCCUCAAAUGCUUGUUAGUCUAUGAAUCUACUGUUGUUGAAAUUACCCUUGAGCUGUGUCGGAAACUCCAGUGGCUUCAGCUAUGAGAAGACCCCCAUUCGAAGUUCUCUGAGAGUAAUAUAAGAUAGCAUGUGGUUGAGGAACAUUGUUGUAUGAUCUCUGUCUGGUCAAUGGUGCUAAAACAAUUCUGGAAAGGAAAAAGAAAUUGUAAAUUAUAAAUACAGAGUGAUCAAGACGGAAUGUGGGUGAGGAACAUUAUCGAAUGACCUGUAACUACUAAUUGUUGUAUGAUCUCUGUCCUAGUUACAAUGUAAAUAUACAAUAAGCGUAUUCUGCACGAGCUCCUAGGAAUUUGACAAUCAAACAAUCUUGAACACAAAGCAAGUAAUUCAUAGCGGUCGACAUCAAUACAAACCAACGAGCAGAAACUCGCAAACGAAACCCUGGUUAUCCAACCAAUCAACUAAACCAAUUCCUUGCUUUACAAGUAACGUGAACAAGCAAAUGUUACAUAAUAAACCAUCCAAUGAAAGUUGCUGCUUUUAUUUCUGAAAAUUCAGGAUUCUUGCAUAGGCAAAAAAACAUUUGACAAUCACAAAAACUGCCCAGUAACCUGCAAGUUGCCCAAAAAAUAAGCAGUAAUUUCAUUUUUCUUGUAAGAAAACCGGGAUUUUCUGCAACCCUGUUUCCAAAUGAACAAAACCCAACAGCCCAAAUCUCAACUGCUCCAGCAGAAUAAGUCAACAAAAUCAAUGCAGAAUGUAGAAGAAUAUAAACUGUAGAAAAGGUUGAGCCCGUGAGUUAAGUUACCUAUGAGAAAGAUUGAAGUUUCCAAGUUUGUAAGGAGCAAGGAGAGGGCUUGUGGGACCACCUACUUGAGCUUGAUUAGUGGUAGCCAUUUCAAUUCAACUGGUUUCAGAGCUUGAUCCUUAUUUUUUAUUUGAUUUGAUUUGAUAUGCUCUCAUAUUGGUGUAAGAAUCCUAUGUGAACUCAACUAGUUAUAGAUAAAGGAGAAAUAAUAUGUUGGUAAUACAAAUUAAUAAGAGUUUGGAUACGUGGAAAGCUACAUCAUAUAAUGAGGGGUAUACUUUCAUCGUGCAUUUGAAAAGAAAGCACUAAUCACAACCACCUCUACACUAUUGGGACUUGAAGCAACGGGAAAAUAACCGACCCUCCACGAUAGAUGGGAGUUGGCUGUCGUUGCUUCUAUAAGCGCAAGAGUUCCCUGCUCACAAGGAAGCACGUUCUGCAAUUAGGGUUCUAUCACCAUUGGAAUAUAAGGUCUUGAGUGAGUAGAAGAAUUCUUGAGUGUGUUAACAGUAAUCAUGGCUGCACCAGGUAAGUCUUUCUUGUCUAAUUUCAUAUCGUGACCUAGUAUGCAUGCGAAUAACUAAGGUUAUUCCAACAAUUGGGAUAUUUAUACCGUUCGGGGAGAGGAGGAAGAGGAACUAUAAAACAACACUAGCACUAGCUGGGGAGGCAGAGGCAGUGGUAGGCCGGGCGGCUCCUUUUGAAAUGUUUGAUGACGUUUGUAAUUACGUAAUCAUGUUUUUUUUUUUUUUUCUUUUCUAACGUAGGAAGUAUGGUAUUGGUAUCUGAUUGGACUAUCUCCAAAGAAAAUAUUAAAUUUUAGGCAUAAAAUUUCAAUUUAAAAGUUUAUGUGGCACUUUAAUCUUUUUUGAAAUUUUGUUAUUCACCGAUGUGUCAAAUUUAAAUUAUUAUUUAUCACAUUAAUUUACUUCUAAUAAUUGUAGUAAGUUUUUUAAAACAGAAAAUAAUAAUAAAAACGAGAAAAAGAAUUUAGUAAUCACUUAAAAUAGAUUUGAAGUUGUUGUCAGAUUUGAUAGCUACCACCUUUGUUAAUCCAUAUCAUAUCACAUAGGAAUUGGUAUUUCACUUGAAAAACACUAAUACAAUCUUUAUUAACUGUUAUUGCUAAUAUGGACUUUUCAUCUCUGAUACCACAUGAAAGGGUAGCACAUUUUUAGCAUUUUGAUCAAAUAAUCUAUCAAAGCAGAGCCGAUGGCCCAAAAAUAUAUCCUCAAAUUAAAAGGGUUAAAAUUUGUGCUCACUUUGCACUUGACAAAUCCCAAAAUAGAAAAAUUUCUUCCAACUGAAAGGAGAUGUCAAAUGUGAUGCGGAAUGCCAUGUGGGAUAGAAAAACAACACAAUUUCUUCCAACCGAAAUGUUAUUAGUUGACAUGGAUUGACUGCAUCGCCUUUGACUGUCUUUUUUGGUAGCAUAAGGCUUGAGGGUCAAAUGCUUUUAUUUUUAUUUUUUUUAACGAACGACAUUAUCUACACUAAGGGGGAGGAGAUGAGUUUAUCCUUAUAAUGGGUAGCAUUAAUAUGGUUCAAAUUAGUCUUUGGCAAGAAUCGAAUAUAAGAUUUCUCACUUACAAGUAAAAAAGAAUACCACUAGACCGUAUUACUAAGUGUCGCUUUUAAUUUUUUUUUUUAAUGCAUGAAUACCAUUGCCAACCAAUAAGAUGGAAAAAAAAAUCAUUUUUAAUAGUUAAUGCAGUGCCACUUAAUACAAGGAUCUCGUGGUAUUUCUCUUCAUUUGUAAGUGAGAGGUCUUAAGUUUGAUUCUUACCAAAUGCGAAGUUGAGCCAUAUUAUUGCUAGCCCAUUAUGAGGCUUAAGCCCACUUUCUCAUCUCCUUAGUGUAGAUAAUAUCGUUUGUUCAAAAAAAAAAAGACACAACCAUGUAGCCCAGUGUAUUAAGAGUGCUGAUAAACUUACUUCAUUGUCUUAUCUCUUACUCAUUUUUUAAUAUAAAAAAAAUUGGAUACUAAUCUAAUCUCUUGUAAAAUGACAUCUAAGGACCAAGCAAAAAUUAAAAAAAGAAAAUAGGACUCUCUUCUUUGUUCACCAUCUUUCUGCAACUACCUAAAUCCCUUCAAAUAAUUUUUUUUUUUUUUUUUUUUUUUUGUGUUCCACAAAAAAAAAAUUCUUUUUUGUUGCCCUAGCUUAAUUAUAUAUAAUAGUUGUUCAAAACACUUUACUAAUAUAAUAAUUAUUUAAAAUUUUGAAAAAUAAAAUGUGAGACCAGAAGAAGGAAUUGGGCUUGGAGAGAUGGAAUUGGGUGUCCCGAAUUUGAAAAUGGGGCAUGAGGAUGAAAUUUUGAGAAUGUUGCAUGCAGCUUGGUCGUGAGAAUUGGAAGGGGAGGAAAGGGGACUGCGUUGGGGGUCUGGAUAGAGGGAAGGAAGGAGAGUUGCAAUCAGCUGGAGAACUGGUAAGUGACCGAAUUAUGGGAUUCUUACUAGAAUUAAAAUCUGGAAGGGGAGGCUUUGAAAUUCGCGGUGGGUGGAGUCUACCUGGAAUUUCAACGCUCUAAUAUUUAUUUUUUUUCAAAAAUUAAAAAAUAACUUAGAUAUAUACAUUAGAGGUUAUUUUAAGAAUAAUAGUGGACAAAAUAGUAUUUUUAUUUUUUAACUUUUUUAGUGGAUGAAAUUAUAAUGUGAGUAAGAAAAUAAGACUUAGGGUGGAUCUUGCAACACUCUAUAUUAAUAAAGUAUAUAUUUAACAUAUUCAUUGUAAAGAAAAAAAAUUUAACAUCUCUAUUUGAUUGGCCACGUCAACCAGUAAAUUUAAUUUUGACAAUAAUUAUAUUACACGUUCAUUGAAGAUGCUGUUAUCAAAUCAUCAUACAAUGCGCUAGUUGAGAAUAGAUGGCUGCCAAUGUGGACGGCACCAACGACCAACGACCAUUUGACAAUAAUUUGGAUGCCUUACUUUUAUCCAAAUAAUUGCAUCCUAUUGUAAAAUCGACGGCGUGUUCAGUGAAAUAAAUAAACAAGACACAAAAUUUACGAGGUUCCUCUGCAGUCAGUGUGACUGGAGUACAUCCUCGGGACAGCAGUGGUGCUUUCAUUAUAAUCUGAAAUAAUAAGAGUACAAAGAUAACUCUCUCUAUUAUCUCCUCUCCUCUUCCUUUCUUUUCUCUCUUCCUCUUCCUCUCUUUUCUCUCUUCCUUUCUUCCUUCCUAUCUCUCCCGUGAGUCUCCCACAUUCAUCUCCCAAUCUUUUUUUUUUGUGUUCCAUAAGACUUGCUUUUAUAGAAGCAAAUCACAAGCAACAUAGUGAAAGGCUUACUAUAUGCAUGUGAGUAUUUACUAUACACAUUACUAUACACAUGUGGUACUUUACUAUACACAUUACUAUACACAUGUGGGCAAACAUACCCACUAUUUACAACACUCCCCCUUAGAUGCCCACAUAUCAAUAUCAGUUUUUGGAUGCUCCCCCUGACGAGUAUCUCCCCCUGAUUUCAACUUCUUUAGGCUAAUCAUUGAUCAUUAUGCUUCAGUCUCUUAGCAAAAAGAGUUGCCGAAAUAGUUACUUUACUUGUUGUUAACUUUCCACAGGCUUGUUCUUGAACUGGGCUGGAGGGCCUCAAAGGUCUGAAUUUACUUCUUUUAUCUGGAGCUAAAUUUAAUUCAAGGGUGAUGGACACUUGAUCUUGAAUCAAACUUGUGAUUUCUUCAAAGACCUUCGAGGCUUGAUCUUGAAUGAAGUUGUACCGUGAGGAGUUUCACGUGACAAGUGAUCUUCGACUUUGUCGGGGAUGAAUCAGCACGUGUUUGUUGCGCUUGUCUCCACAUGCUUCAAUAUAUCAUUUUCACUUGCCUUACUUGUUACCCUUGCAUAAGUGGUAUUUUACCUGGGUUUCCCCCUACAUGUGUGGCAUCUUCUCUUGUAGGAUUUGUCCCCUGAUGCAGGAGUGGAAUGCAAACCCUUGCAUUUGAAUGGUUCAUCACUUCUUGGUGACUGGAGACCCAGCUCCAACAACAGUUGAAGAUGACUACUCUUGCUCUCGUCCCUGAAGAUAUGAGAUAAUCUUGCUCUGGUGUGACUUGUUUGAAGAUGUAUUCUCGGAGAGGAAGAAAACUGAGUAUUUCGAGAUGCUGUGUUGAAGAUGCAUUCUCGGAGAUGAGGAAGAGUUGGACAUGCUUGCAGGUCUGCCUUGUUAUGGAGAACGGAGGUCGACAUAUAUAGAGAUUUCCCAAUAGCAAGUGGUGGUGCUGUGCCUUUACUCUUGUCAGCAACUGUGGUGUAAUUAGAACAAUAAGAUUUACGCGUUUUCAACUUUGUCAGAGAUCUUUGACAAAGUUGCAUGCAAUAUCCGAAAAAGCUGAGAUUGCGUCUGAAAAAUGCCAACGAACUUUAUUCAGGAAAUCUGGCUUUUGAAAUUCGAAGAACGGUGCCUCUUUGAUCUCUGAACAAGUGGCUAUGUUGCCUCUUUUUUUAUAGAGACAUCAGUUCAAGAGUAUGCUCAGAAAGUUGCUGCCUGUAGAAAUUUCGCCCAUCUUGCACUUCUGAAAUUUUAUUUGACCUCUUUUUUCCUUCAUCAUUUUUGAAAAUGACUUGCUCAUCUAACAUUUGCUUAAAUUUGAAUCUUAGGAGUGAUACAGACGAGCAGCGUCAGGAUAAAAUAUGGCGCCCGUCCUUCUUAUCUUCUAAUGGUUCUCUUACGGUUGGGGACUCUGUGAUGAAGAAUAACAUAACCGCUACUGUGGUAGUUAGGAAUCUUCUCACUCCAAAGGAUAACAGGAUCCUUUCAAAACGAUCUAAUGAGUCGACCGUUCAAGACUCAUUGGCUCUUAGUGUUCAGUGUGCUAGCUCUGUUUCCAAUAUGGGCCAACACCUACUUGCUCAAACUCACCAAGUUGAAUCAUUGAUGGCUGAGGUGGCAAGUCUUAAACAAGAGAUUAGAUGGCUCAAGCACGAGAAUAGACUGUUACACGUGCUUGCAAAUAAUAACUCGACGAGCAUGAAAAGAAAGCUCGAUCAGCUGCGAGAAUCCGAAAGUCGGAUUCAAAGUGAUUACCAGAGGUUCGUUGCUAGAUUCCGAAAGCAACUGAUGUCUUCCCCUUCUGGUGUUUUGCCAAGUACUGGGAUGCCACAUGAUCAAUCUCCAGUGCCUCCCCCUUCUGGGGUACUUUCGAGUACUGAAGCUUCACAUGAGCAAUCUUUGUGAAGGCUCAAUCCUGUUUGUUUGUUUUAACUCAUGUGUAUGUACAUAUCUGUAAUUUCUUGGAGAUAUUAAUAGAUAAGCUUUAUUUCAUUCAAUGUAUUGUGCCAAAUACAAUAAAGCAUAUACUUCACUAAGAUGUGGUACUUCUGGACCAAAUAUUAAUUUAUCUUUACCCUUAUGAAAAUAAAUGAUUAUUCUUAGUGUCUUCAUCAUUUGAGUAUUCAACUCAUAAUCUUCAAUCCAUACGGUUCUUUUAAUAUCAUAAACAUCAUGGAUAAGAUUCGUGUUGGUAGAUUGUUCGAUCUGCAACCCGUGACAAUAAUUCUCUCAACACUUUAUAAUCUUUCUUGACUCUUCAGGAGUCUCAAUUUAAUAUCAUCAAGUCUUCAAGAGUUCUAAUUUAAUGUCAUUGACUCUUGCAAGAGAUUUUCGUAUGUUGCAACAAUAUCAUAAUGAUAGUACUCACUAAGACAAUUUAUACCAUCCAUUGAUAUUGAGUACAUAUUUUAUGAUUUACCCUUCGGGGGCUUACUUCAAGCAAUUUGAAUCCUUCAGGGAUUUUCUACACUUCAUGACACAUUUUUCUUUGGAAUUUAUACAGAGCAAUUUGCUCCCAUGUAUACUUGAGGGAUUUACUUAUGGAGAUAUGAUGUGGGCGACUCACAACCCUUCGUAUAUAAUUCUCUAUUUAUAUGAACUCGUUUACAAGAGUAUAAUUUCAGGUUUCAAUUAGUAACCUUGUGUCAUAUCAUGUGAGUGUAUUACACUGUAUUACAAAUGCCCAUAUGUAACCUCCUUGGUUCAACAUCUUCUGGCUAUUUGUAUUGUAUUCAAAUAUAUAGGUCCAUUUUUCCACGUUCUUACAAAAUUGUAAUGGAAUUGCCUUUCUCCAUUUUUGGCCAAUAAUUUUCCUUUUGUCGACGAACAAAAGAACGUAAUUCAAUAUUAACACAGCUCAUUGAUGAAUUUAGUAGCUACUUGUAAAAACCAAAAUUACCAUUGGUUAUCAUCAAUCCGUGAUCCCAUAUUCUCAUGUGCAUGCACAUGCAUAAAAGCUUUUCAUUUCUUUGGAUAUCCAUUACCUCUUCAAGGGCAUGACACUAUCUAUUCCAGGAUAGUCAUAAUUUAGAGAAUGUGGAUCAUAACCUCCUCUUGAGCAUUAUUGAGCUUGGAUUUUAAUCUCCACUUCCGGGGAGUUGAGUCAUUGGAACCUAUACGUUUAUCAUGCUACAUGCAUGAGACAUCAAUAUUCCCAUGUCCGUGGAUUGUCCUAUCUGGGACGUGUAUCCAUGCGGCGACUGUCAUGCUUCUGGCAUGCAACAGUUAUGCUUCAGGAAUGUAAUAGUUCAGUAGUGCCAUAUUUCUUCUUUCGAAUAACUGAACCUUUUGAGUCUAAAGGUUUGUCACGCUUCAGGCGUGCAACAGAGAAAUUAUUUACUAGCUCACUAUAUUGUCCAACAGGGACAUUAAUUCUUGUAGGCACAUUUGCAACAAAUAUAUGUCAUUUCAUCACUUUCUUGCAUCAUUAAAUGCAUCUAGCAUUUGAUUGAUAUAUCGUUGCAUCAUUCAAUUAUUCUUACUUCAUUUUUAUGUUGAUUGCUUCGUGAAUCAAAAUAAGACAAAUUCUCUUCAUUCUUCUGGAACGGUCUUUUCUUAUCAUUCUUUUGAAAUGAUAUUUUCUCAUCGUUCUUCUGGAACAAUGUUAUUUUCUCCCCCUAACGGUGGGAAAUUGUCUUAUCAAAAUGACGAUCCGCAAACCACGCGGUAAACAUAUCCUCAAUCAAGGGUUCCAAAUAUUGAAUGAUAGAUGGUGUUCAACAUCAAUGCCUAAUCCGCGAUGAUGCCUCAUUUCAGUACGUUGUGGCAAUGCAAUAGGCACAUAGAUAACAUAACCAAAAACUCGUAAAAGUAUAAUGCUUGGCUGGUUCCCAAACACGAGUUGUACUGAGAAGUAUUGAUGAUUGGUAACAUGUCUCAACCGAAUUAAUAAUGCAUCAUGUAAAGUUUACAUGUCCCCAUGUAGAAAACUGGCAAUUUCGUUUUAAUGAGCAGAGCGCGGGUAAUCAAUUUCAUUCACUUAAUAAAUGCUUCUGCUAAACCAUUUUGAGUAUGGACAUAAGCCUUAUUUAAUAGUCUAUAGACUGAGACUCUUAUGGCUUUUAUUACAAUUAAGUUAAGGCACUGCAGCACUUCAAACUUACGGUACUCAUCUAGGAACUUCAUGUCCUGAUCUUGAGGAUCAAGGGACUUCAUACCUGAUCUUUUUGCGUGAUGGAACUUCAGGUCUAAUCAUUUUUAUAUGAUGAGGAUCAAGAAACUGCAGGUUCUCAUCUGAUCAAUGAACUUUAGGUCCUAUAUAUACUCAUUGUAACAAAAGAUAAGUACAAUAAAUAAAUUAAAGCAAUAGGCGGUAAUUCCAGCCAUAAUGAAUAAAUUGCAUUUAAGUAAAUAAAGUUUGUGACAAGGGCUUUAAUUCAGCACCAUCAAAACUUAAAGCAAUAGGCGAUAAAACCGUCCAUGAUAAAUAAAUUGCUUUAAAGUAAAUAAAGCUUGUGACAAGGGCUUUGAUUCAACACCAUUCACAUAAAUAUCAAAACUUUAAAGCAAAGGGUAAUAAUUCUACCCACUAUAAAUAAAUUGCUUUAAAUAAAUAGAAUUUGUGACAUGGGCUUUAAACAAACACCAUACACAUAAAUAUCAAAGUUUUAAAGCAAAAGGUAAUAAUUCUGCCCACUGUAAAUAAAUUGCUUUAAAUAUAUAGAACUUGUGACAUGGGCUUGAAACCAACACCAUGCACAUAUAUAUCAAAGCUUUAAAGCAAAGGGUAAUAAUUCUACCCACUGUAAAUAAAUUGCUUUAAAUAAAUAGAACUUGUGACAUAGGCUUUAAACCAACACCAUGCACAUAAAUAUCAAAGCUUUAAAGCAAAGGGUAAUAAUUCUACCCACUGUAAAUAAAUUGCUUUAAAUAAAUAGAACUUGUGAUAUGGGCUUUAAACCAACACCAUGCACAUAAAUAUGCCAAAACAGAAAAUGCAAUGAUUAAGUCCUCAUCAUUUGCUUUUUCUUUUUCUUGGUCUACCACUUCUUUUGUUUGAUUCCUUUUAUUUUUAUUUUUAUUUCACAGUUCUGAAGUCAUUUUGGUUACUCAGUAAAUAAUAGUAACAAUAAGUUCCAAUUGGUGUUCCUCCUCCGAUGAGUUUCGAAAAAGUCGAAACGGUUCCCAUAAGUUUUGGAGUCAAGAGUGUUUGCAACUUAUGAGAAGAUCCAACCGUUAGAUUUAGUUCACAUUUUAGUAUGAUAUGGAUAAGAGGAUACCGAACAACUUUCGUGAAGAAACAAUUUCAAUCUGAGCUACCGAAAUGGAGUUUUGGUACUCAUAAGGUGGAUGUCCAGUUUUCUGCGGAAAUUGGAAACUAGUUUGGUAUUUCAGACAUCUGUGAUGAUCGCACCGUUAAAGUGUUUUGAAAAUUUGAUAUGUUCUAAAUACUGAGCAGACGAACAACUUUCAAGAAGAAAGUAUUUCAAUCCGAGGACCGCAAGUUGGAGUUCCAAGGUUGUUUACAUGGCUGUCAAAUUCUUUACGAAUUUUGAGUCUGAACUCUUUUGCUUCUGCAAAGGAUGAUAUACAGUUAUACAACAAUAUAUAUAGUUGCUUCAAGAAAAUCAAUUGUACUGAGAUUUGAAGAUGAAAUGAAAUUUUUUUUGUUAUCUGUGAUAUUCCAGCUGAAGGAGGUGAACAUGAUUUGUGACGCUGUGCUUUCCACUGACAUAAGAGCUUCUCGUGCUGAUAACGUGUUGUAAAAUCGACGGCGUGUGCAGUUGAAUAAAUAAACAAGACACAAAAUUUACAAGGUUCCUCUACAGUCAAUGUGCCUGGAGUACAUCCUCGGGGCAGCAGUGGUGCUUUCAUUAUAAUCUGAAAUAAUAAGAGUACAAAGAUAACUCUCUCUAUUAUCUCCUCUCAUCUUCCUCUCUUUUCUCUCUUCCUCUUCCUCUCUUUUCUCUCUUCCUUUCUUCCUUCCUAUCUCUCCCGUGAGUCUCCCACAUUCAUCUCCCAAUCUUUUUUUUUUUGUGUUCCAUAAGACUUGCUUUUAUAGAAGCAAAUCACAAGCAACAUAGUGAAAGGCUUACUAUAUGCAUGUGAGUAUUUACUAUACACAUUACUAUACACAUGUGGGAAAACAUACCCAUUAUUUACAUCACAUCCAUGCUUUUUGGUUCAAUUAUUUUCUUUUUCUGUUUCAUCCUUUCAUUUGAUUCAUCAUGCUCAACGGGACCGUCAUUGUUACCAAGGGCCAUCAUCACUUUUGGUAGGAUUUUCAUUUGAAACUUGCUUCACCUUGUUACUCUUUUUCAAUUAUUCCAAUUAAAGAGGUAGAUGAUGCUUUAUUGCAGUGAUGGAAAACAAUUAUGCUUAUGUACUCUUGUGCAGUUUCGAUCCUCAUAGAUUCGCUUCCUCCUAAACCCAAAACCACUUAGACUUUCUUAACUUUUGGAAUCUACUACAUAUGUUACCUUCCAUUUUUUUGCCAUAAAAACAUCUUACCACUCACGUGGAGGGAUAUUUUUCGUCAAUCCACUUCCUAAAGCUCGCUACAAUGAAUUUGCACAAAUUCAAAAUGCAUUUUUUUAGCAACGUUGGAGUCAGGUAAUGAAGAGACGGGUUUGAUUUUGAGAAGGGUUGUUGAAAAAUUGAAGUGAAAAAUGAUUAGUGGCAUUUACAUUUGUUGUUUGGUAGAUGGUGGCUGCAUGUGUUUUUUCUGGGUUUUUGGUUCUUUAUUACUUAGACUUACUAAAAAUUCAAAUUAUUUAUUGUUUUGUUGUAGGCAUAAUUUACUGACCAAUUAUGGAGGCCAGAAAGAGAGAGAAGGUGAGGCAUGGAGAGAGAAGAGAGGGAUGUGUAAUUGUGAGAUGGAGAGAAGGUUCUAUUCCACCCCAUUGUGCCUUUAUUUAUAGUAGUAGGGAAGGUUAAUUCCUUACACUUUUAGGAUUACAACUCUAAUAGGAUAUUAACUACUAAGGGAAUAUUCAAAGAUGGCCCUAGAUACACUAUGAUUUAUACAAUCGCAUUCCUAAUCUAAUAGGACUACAACACUCCCCCUUGAGUGUGUAAAUACUCAACUAAAUGGCGCAUUAGGUCUUCAACGAUGAAGUAAGUACAAUUGAUGAAGUUGUCAGCACAAUGAGCGAAUGAGAGUCUCAUAUCAAUGAAAGAAUGCAUAAAAAGUAAAACUCACAAAACCUCGCUAUGGUAAAACCUAAGGUGGGAGAAAAACCCAUAGACUAAGGAGAAAAGUGAGAAGUUGCAUUAAAUCAAAACUAUACGUCUUCUGGACGCAAGUAGAAGAGCUCACAAAGGUAUGAUCAGCCCAGGAUGGGUGCCUCGUCAAAACCUAGUUAGGUAGCAAAAACCCAGUAGGAAAAAUGCUCCUAAUCGUAGGAAAAAAAAAUACAUUAAGAUCAAGUGAGUAUACUUCUGGAUACUCCCUCAGAGUUUGACAGAACUUCCAAAUGAGAACUACAGGCAUUGCAUAUGAAUAGUUAGGCAGACCAGUUCCUUAGACAAGCUUAUGGAAGGUUGACUUCGGUAGUGACGUCAUGUAGAGGUCGGCAAGGUUGUCUAGGAUUGGCUUGCAUGACUUCAAUCACCUGAUGCUUUGCUGAUGUAGAUGUAGAUGCAAUAGGUCUUGGCGUUGACUUUGUUGAUGUAUCAUGUCUUGGUCGGGUUGAUACAUGCGGCAUAGUCUUCAUGGAUCAUCAUCGGGACUCAACGAUGGAUGAUAACAGCAAGUACUUUGAAUAUGCUCAACAAGAACUCCUAACCAUGUCUUACGUGUGGCAUAGUGAAGUGAGAUAUAUGAUGCUUUAUUGCAGUGACGGAAAACAAUUAUUCUUAUGUAGCUUUGUUCAAUUUCGAUCCUUGCAAAUUAGCUUCCUCCUAAACCCAAAACUACUUAGACUUUCUUAACUUUUGGAAUCUACUACAUAUGUUAGCUUCCAUCUUUUUGCAGUAAAAACAUGCUGCCACUCACGUGGAGGGAUAUUUUUCGUCAAUCCACUUCCUAGAGCUCACUGAAUUAAUUUGCAAAAAGUCAAUAUGCAUUUUCCUGCAGCGUUGGAGUCAAGUCAUGAAGAGACGAGUUUGAUUUUGACAAGGGUUGUUGAAGAAUUGAAGUAAAAAAUGAUUGCUGGCAUCUACAUUUGUAGUUUGGUGGAUGGUGGCUGCAUGUUUUUUUUUGGGUUUUUGGUUCUUUAUUACUUAGACUUACUAAAAAUUCAAAUUAUUUAUUGUUUAACAUCGUAAUAUGUGUUUUGUGUCGGGUUUGUUGUGAUGACUGUAUUGGACAAUUGCUAAAGACAAAUCUUAGUCUAUUAGGUCCUUAUGCAUAGACACUGUUCUAAAAAUUCAUGUCUAGCAUAGCGCAGUCUAGGCGCUAGGCAACUGACCACUAUCCCGAUUAGUUGAAAUAGGGCACCUACACCUGCUUAGGCACCCGCCCAGACUAGCCUAGGUACCUUCCUAGGUCGCAACUCUCAUUUAGACAGAAAAUGGAUAGAAUUCAUUUUGCAUUUUAUUUGUUUCAAUAUAUUAUAAGAGACUUGUUAGAUAAUUAAAUGGAUAUACUUUAUAUGCUUGUUCCUCAUGUUUUUAUUAUAUUCUAAUACUUUAUAAUCUAUGUCAUUCUAUUUUACAAUUUAUGUAUUUAAGUGAAAUUAUCUAUUUUUUAAGUAUAAAUAGACACCUAUUUAUAUGAUGUAUAAUAAAUUUCAUUGUGACGAGAACACAAGUGGUACACCACGUGUUUUAAUAGAAGUGGUGGGAAAUUUUAUUUUUUUUAAUUAUUAACUUUUUAGCACACAUAUCCUACCAUUUGUAUAAUGACACGUGGUGCCCCAUCCCCUAUACCGGUCACACUGAAAAAUCUCUCCACUCUGGGAGGUUAAAGUGAAAGCAUGCCUUAAAUAACCAAAAAGAGAUUAAUGCAAUUUCAACAUUGAUUGUAAUAGAGGAGCAGUUAGCAUCAUACUAAUAUUGGAGUAGAGAGACUUGUAACAGAGAAAGCUCAACCAAAUAUCUUACAGAAUGAAAUUGAAGAAGAAGAACCAGAGAGCCUGAUGGGUACAACUUGGGAGAACUUAGAAGCCUAUAUGGGAACUCAUCUAGUGAUGAAGAACCGGAUUCAAUGAGAAGGAAUAGGAGGUAGAAGAAACAACCCAAGUUUAAACAUCAUAGAAAAGAAACUGAUGUCAGUACCAUAGAGUUUGAUUUGGGGAUGUCUUUUCUUAUUAGACUAAACAUAUAAACCAAGAUCAUGUAACAUGAAUCACAGCCACCCAAACACAAACUGUAGUUCAUGACUAUUGUACAGAGUAGAAAUCUUACCUGCAGAUGCACCAGAAGAAGAAGCCACUAUAUAUAGGUCUUAGUCCGAGACAGAGCGUAAUAUCUGUGAGAGGAUAGACCACUAUAUAUAUAGAACAUAAUCCUAGCCAAAACCAAUAAGGAUUUUCCUAUUAAAAUCCAUACAGCAAACUGAAAUUGUUUACAAUAGGUGAAUCAGUUCCUUGUUCUAUUUGAAUCCUAGAACAACAUGGAUUAAUAAUCAGUACUCAUUAAGACUUUCUAUCAAACUUGAGACGAAUCACCAAUUCUCUAGACUCAUGCUCAUAUUCUUGCAUUCCCAAGUUCCAAGGAAUUCAAAGAAGUUGUGAAUAGACACUUUUAUAAUAUGCAGGUCUUACGAGUUAACCACAAAUGGUUGGUACAAGGUUAAGGCUCAAAUUCAUGCCCUUGGCAAGUGAUGCUUCUAAUGACCAAUCUGAUAGACAUUCUCCUUUAUAUGUAAAACAUUUGUUCCAAAUCACACUUGUGGAAAAGAUGAAAACAAUACGAGUGUGACCAGUACUUGGUUGGCUGAGAGAUAUGCUGAUGAUAUGAAGAUCAAUCCCUUUUUUUUUUUAAUAAAGGACGGCAUAUAUAUAUGAAAAUCAAUCCUAAAAUGGAUGUUAAGACAAUGAAAGCUACAAUGAGGGAUUAUCCAUUCUAAUCCCUCUCCAAAUGAUAGGAUUGUGAGUGAUAAGUUUAUUUCAUUCCAAUCCCCUUUGAAUUUUAAGAGUUGCCUAUUCCAAUCUAAACCUAGAGACGAAACGCGGCCAUAUAUUACAAAGACAAAGAUUCUAAAACGGCCUUCGCUCAGAGAAGAAAAAAAAGCCAUGCAGUGAGAACAUCUAAGGGAAACGAGUUGAUCCUCAAUAAACGCCUCAAUAGAAUGACGUAUCUUUGUUAAAGCAUCUGCCACAAAAUUAGCUUAAUCUAAAACAUGAUAGAAGCUGAUAUGAUCAAGCAUCCCAUGUUUGCUGAAAAGAUGAAAGAAGGAUCUUUCCAAGUUUAGGAAGGUGGGAGUUGCCAAAGAGAAACCGAUUUGAGCCGCAUCUGCUCCAAAUAUCUCAGGCAAACGGUCAGCUGACAAAAUGCGGUCAAUGGCUUCAACAUCUUGAGAAUAAAAGGCACAACUAGGAUCAAUUGGUUGUACUUUAUAUAGGGAUAAGAAUUGAGUUUCCUCUUUCACAAAUGUUACUUAUUCAUUACGGCCAUUAUACUGUCAGUAUAACUUUUCCGGCUUCUAAGUUCGGAACCCUCCCAAACAUUGGACACUACAAUACUAGAUAAUGCAAUAAGAUACAACAGUACAAUACAAUAUAGUUGAAAACAAUCCAUCUAAGAUAGUACAGACUCAAUCGGACGAAUCAGGAGCCCUAGUGUUCAAGCUUCCACCUUUGCGGUAAACUUAAGUGGUGGCUUCAAGAAAUGGAUAAUCAGUGUAACCAAUGACGGGAUCAGGUAUGUAGAAUGUCUCUCUGUUGUACUUGUUUAGAGGAGCAUUAAGUUCAAAUCUCUUUGGCAAAUCUGGAUUCGCCAAGAAAAUACGGCCAUAAGCAAUAAGAUCUGCACUGCCCUUGGCCACAGCACUGUUUCCAUCUUCCCUAUCAUAACCACCAGCAGCAAUGAAGGUACCAUGGAAAGACUUUCUCAUGGGAAGAAGACUCUGGUGGGUUUCAUCUUUUUCCCCCAUUGUCUUCAUCCUCGGCUCAACCAUGUGGCAGUACACGAUUCCAUAUUUGUUCAAGGCAUUGGCCAUAUAGAGGCCUAAUUCUUUUGGAUUUGAAUCCCCUGAGUCCAUAUAGUCAGCAAAUGGAGAUAAUCUAAUUCCAACUUUAUCUGCUCCUAUUUCGUUAGCGACAGCUUCAACAACUUCCAGAGGAAGGCGGCAACGAUUCUCUAGAGAUCCACCAUAUUGGUCUGUUCGAUCAUUCACAUGAUCUUUCAGAAACUGAUCAAGAAGGUAGCCAUGCGCCCCAUGAAUUUCAACUCCAUCGAAGCCUAUAUAGCAGAUUAACAAUUUCAACAUACUGACGGUAUUAGAACCUUAAGCAUUGUAGCUGAAUUACCAAACAAAUAAUAUAAAGACAAACUACCGGCUUCAAUAGAAUUCCUUGCAUAAGCUUUGAAGCAAAUUGAGUUGUUGUAAAUUUUCUUUCAUUUUAACGUAAAGACAAAUUACCAGCUUCAAUAGAAUUCCUUGCAGCAAGUCUAAAAUCAUUGACAAUUUGUGGAAUUUCAUCUGUCCUUAAUCGUCUUGGAGGCGUGAAUUCAGAGGCAUCGAUGCCAUUUAAUCGUAUCGGCUUGUCAGUAGAAGAUAUUGGAGCUUGCCCAUUUGGUUGAUAACCUGUAAGCAAGGAGAGAAAGAAUUACAACCUGAAGUCUAACGACAGUAACUAACAUCCACAGCAGCACUCUUUUAAGUGGGAAUCCUUUGUUACAAAUUACUAUAACCACACGUGCUAUAUACUAGUUCUGAAUUCUGAGUUAUGUUAACAUCAAACUUAUUCCCAUCCAAUAAUAAUAAUAACAAUGCUUCCGAAACAGCAAAGUCAUAACAAGUCCAACUCGGAACUUAACAAGUCCAAGUUUUAUCGUCAUUUUGAGCAACAAUGUUGUCAUUUAUAAUCACUCGCUCGUUCUGAUGCAUAUACCAUUAUGUUAUACAUCAAACUUCUUAAUCGGUCUAAUUAUUCACUCAUGUUAACAAAGCAUUCUAUGGUAAAAGUGAGGUCAUAAAGGUGUAAGUCAGAAACGCACCGCUAUUAGAAACCCUUCCAACAUGCCAAAUCUGACAGAAGAAGAGGCCACCUUUAGCAUGAACAGCAUCAACAAUGGGUUUCCAGGCUUCAACUUGCUCCUUUGUCCAUAUACCAGGUGUGUUCGGGUACCUUCGUAUAUUAAAGAACCAAAAAUUUCAUCAAACUUUGAAACGAAAGAAGCACCCUCAAAUGCUUGUUAGUCUAUGAAUCUACUGUUGUUGAAAUUACCCUUGAGCUGUGUUGGAAACUCCAGUGGCUUCAGCUAUGAGAAGACCCCCGUUCGAAGUUCUCUGAGAGUAAUAUAAGAUAGCAUGUGGUUGAGGAACAUUGUUGUAUGAUCUCUGUCUGGUCAAUGGUGCUAAAACAAUUCUGGAAAGGAAAAAGCAAUUGUAAAUUAUAAAUACAGAGUGAUCAAGAUGGAAUGUGGCUGAGGAACAUUAUCGAAUGAUCUGUAUCUAGUCAUCAACGGUGAAAAUACAAUUCUAAACAGGAAAAACAUAUAAUAAACCAUAAAUACAACCUUCAGACUUUGUAGGAAGCAUUAGUUUGCUAAGGCUCCUUCAUAACAAAUUCGUUUUUAGUUUUCUUGUUUUAGUUAAAAAGGAGAAACGAGGGAGGAAGAAGGAAUUUGGGGCGAAAAUGUAUGAAAUAAAAAGUCGAAUUGUAGAUUAUCUGAAUUUGCUAAGGCUCCUUCAUAACAAAUUCGCUUUUAGUUUUCUUGUUUUACUUAAAAAGGAGAAACGAGGGAGGAAUAAGGAAUUUGGGACGAAAAUGUGUGAAAUAAAAACUCUAAUUGUAGACUAUCUGAAUUUGCUUUAUGUUCUUCAUUUUCGGUAUCAUUCCAUGCACAUUUGGUCCCUCAUCCAUCCCUUCCCCUUCCCCUUCCUCCUCCUCCUCCUCUUCUAUCAUGCAUUUUCUCUUUUACUUAAAAUUAAAAACUAAAAAUCAAAUACGAAAUCGUUACCAAACACAACCUAAACAAAGCAAUGUCUUACGAAGUGACCAUGGCCGAAAGGACACAUACUUUUAACAAUCUAUUGCAUCUAUUUUCAACAAUUAAUCAAUGAAAUAACUCAAGUGUACUGUUGUUUUGAUUUAAUUUGUAACAUCUGUACUAUUUUAUAGACAAAGAUACAGUUACUCUUUUUUUUUUUUUAGGUAAACUGGAAUUACACCAGGGCAAAGCCAGAGUACAACAGGAAAACCCACACAGAGGACUAACAUAGCUAAAACCAUUGAAACGACAAACAACAGAAUGAUCCAGGGCCAAGGACCAACACUAGUUCCGACAUUAUGUCACCCUUAAUCAUUCCAACAUAGACUCAACUUAGUGUGGGCAAGGUAGACCAUCCUUGUUCAACUUCUUGUCUCCUUCCCAACAUCUGUACUAUUUUAUACCAACAUGAUUCUCUCCAGAUUCUUUUGGUGAGAAUCUUGUCUGUUCAUCAUAAAUCGUGCGAUCAGUUUUUGUCAACUACUGUUCGUGUUUUAUUUUAAAUAAAAAUAUUUAAAAUAAUUUUUGACCGCACGAUGUACGAUGAACAGACAGGAUAACGGAUUUCCAAGAUUCUCACAAAGAGAAUCCGACGAGUAUCCGGAAUCUAUUUUAUAGACAAAGAUACAGUUACAAACAGUCCUUGUCUCCUUCCCCAAAUCAUUCUUCGUUUUUGUAUAGCUAUAUUUGACACACACACAUAAUAAACCACACAGUACGCUAAACUUGAAUAUAGACAAGCAGUAAUUUCAUCUUCUAUUUUUCUUGUUAGCCAAUAGCCAUCUGCAGACCUAGCUACUCUCUGAAUCCAAGUUCGGAUCUCCUCUCAUAGUUUUUACAACAUUAUAUUAAAAUAACGCCCGAAUAAAAUAAAUUAAACAAUUACACGACAGAGAAAUUUAAGAAGUAAACAAAUAGGAACAAUGUAUGAAAGUUUUAAGUACCUAUGAGAAAGAUUGAAGUUUCCCAAUUUGUAGGGAGUGAGGAGAGGAAUUGUGGGAGGUUGAGCAGCAGCAGACAUCUCAGAAUUCGAGUCGGUCGUCUACCACCUGAUCUUGCACUUGGCGUUUUAUACUGGAUUCUGGGAUGAAGGAAGGAAGGAAUGAAUGAAAACAGGACCCAAUUGGGUCUUUUAUACGUUCGGUAGGAGCUUAAAAGUCCGCCCUGCAGCUUUCCUCCACAAAAGUCAGAGAAGGCCGGGUCCCACAUCUCCCCUCCCUUGUGUGGUGGUGGCGGCGGCGGACGUCGGUGGGUGGAUGAUGGAUCUCUCCAAAGCAUUAAUUAAAUCGAUUAGGUGAAGAGAGGUAGGAAGGUUUGAUGAGGUCUGUAAUUACGUUUACGUGGGUUGAAAAUAAACCAGUUUUAUGAGGUCUGUAAUUACGUUUGCGUGGGUUGAAAGUUCACCAGUUUUCCCCAUGAAAAAGGACGUCUACGCACGUUCAUUUCGAUUUUGCUUUUUCAUCCUGCAUUAUUAGGCCAUGGUUAGAAAAAAUAUAUUAUAAUUUUGUAAAAAAAUUAAUUUUAAAUUAAUAGUGUCAGAUCAUAUUUAUAUACUAUCGCUAACCAAAUGAGCUAAACAUAGCCUCAUCAAUUUCCGAUGGAUAGCUAGACUAAAAUUCUAUGGAGCUCAUCAAGCCAUCAUUUGGCUAAAGGGGCAUUGGGCUGGCCAAAUGUAGCCCCCCUUCUUAGCCCUUUUUGGAGCCCAGCUCCUCUACUGCACUAUUUGAGUCAAAUUCAAUAACUAUGUUUGAAAACAUUUAAUGGAAGUUUAAUUAAAUUAAUCAAUAAAUUUAAUAUAUAAACUUAAAACUAAGUAAUUAUUGAGAGGGUUAUGUUUAGCCACUUCAGUGACGGUAUAAGUAUGAUGCGAUAUUGUUCAGUCAUUUCGGUUAAUGAUGGCCUACGGUUAGAAUUUUGAGGAUAUGUGAGACUAAAUGCAUGUUAGUUACAAAAUUAUGUUUGUUUAGAUCACUUGAAAUAUUUGACAACUUAAUAAAGAAAAACCAACUUAAAAUCCAUGAAUUAGAAAACUCAUUUUCUUUUUUGGUUUUAUUAAGUUGUCAAAUAUUUAAGCUUUUGAAUACAAACUAAUAUAAUCUUGUGGCUAAUAUACAUUUGGUCCUCACAAAUCUUUAAAAUGAAGACCUUACUUGAUCAAUGAAUUUAUGACAAAUUAAAUAGUCUAAAAAUAAAAGGCUCGAAUUAGGGCUAGGUUCAGUUCAAAUCAGUUCAAUUUUUUUUUCAGUUUGGGUUUUUUUUGGUUCCAAUUCGGUUUUUUUCGUGAUUUUUUUUAAAUCUUUUUUUUUUUGUCAAAAAUAUAAAGAAGAGUAAUUUUACUUUUUUUUUUUUCCGAUGAACUAAGAAAUUAAAGAAGGAACUUGAAUUAAAACUAGGGCAACUCGCAAUGAUGGCUGCAUCAACAAAUCAUCCAUAUCUACAAUACGAACAGAAACCUUUGUAAAUCAUAAAGUCCUUAAUGCUGAAUCCUUUAAGAACCAAGACUUGAAAACCCUAAAUCUGCAAUACAAACCCACAAGUAACAAACAAACCCACAACACAAAAAUCGACCAAAUCUGCAAUACAAACCAAACUCCCUCCAUGGCGCCAUGUCGCUGCCUCCGUUUUCCGGCCAAACCAAGGCGAUUUAACAUAAAAAAAAAAGGUACCAUUCUCUUCGUCUCAUCUAGAAGUAUGAUUUUUGUUUUUGAAUCACUUGAUUUCGUUGAGUAUUCAAGAAGUUAUGAACGUUUAAAGUUUACUCAGUUUCUGGCGAGUUUUCAAGUUUUCUAUCUUAUUCUACACUUUCCUAUCUUCAUUUUGAUAUUUUAUGGGUCGAAUUUGGUUAAGAAACGAUUGAGUUAUAAAGCUUUGAAAAUUGCCCAAGAACUCCGGGACACUUAACGGAGUUUUUAACGGAAUGACCAAAAUGAUGGAUGGUGGACAAUCUCAAGGACCACUUUUAUCGAUUUGAAAUGUUAGGGACCAAGGUGAUGAGUUAUGCAAAUCUCAGGGACUAUUUUGACUAUUUAGCCUUUUUUUUUUCAUAAACGAAAAUAAUUUUUUUUAAUGAAGAUAGAAAAGUGUAGAAUAAGAUUAUACCUAUUUGGAAGCCCAAUGGCUGCCGGAGAUAGCCGGAAAAUAGCCUCAAAGUUGACUGGUCCGAGGGAAAAUUGGAAAACUCGCCGGAAACUGGGUAAACUUUAAACGUUCAACUUCUUCAAUACUCAACUAAAUCAAGUGAUUCAAAAACAAAAAUCAUACUUCUCGAUGAGACGAAGAGAAUGGUACCUUUUAAGACGGUUAAAUCGCGGUGGUUUGGCCAUAAAAAGGCUCAAAAGUGUCUAACUCGAGACCAAGACAGCCACUUUGGAACCGUUUUCCGGGCAAACCACGGUGAUUUAGCCGUCAAAAUAGGUACCAUUCUCUUAUUAUCGUUGAGAAGUAUGAUUUUAGUUUUGAAUAACUUGAUUUCGUUGAGUAUUGAAGAAGUUAUGAACAUUUAAAGUUUACUCAGUUUUUGGCGAGUUUUCCAGUUUUCCUUCGGACCAGUCAACUUUGAGGCUAUUUUCUUGCUAUCUCCGGCAGCCAUUGGGCCUCCAAAUAGGUAUAAUCUUAUUCUACACUUUCCUAUCUUCAUUUUGAUAUAUUAUGGGUCGAAUUUGGUUAAGAAACGUUUGAGUUAUGAAGCUUUAAAAAUUGUCCAAAUUUCCAGCCAAGAACUCCAGGACACUUAACGGAGUUUUUAACUAAAUGACCAAAAUGAUGGAUGGUGGACAAUCUCAAGGACUAAUUUUAUCGAUUUGAAAUGUUAGGGACCAAAGUGAUGAGUUAUGCAAAUCUUAGGGACCAUUUUGGCUAUUUAGCCCAAAAAAAAUUGCAAACUUUAAAUGAUAAUAGAACAAAGUAAUACUAAUUUAUAAUAAAGAAGUCAGGUUGUUAAUAGAUGAAUUUGAUUGAAUUUUUAUUGUGUUAGGAAGUGUUAGGAGGAGGAUACAAUUAUCUUACUAGACUACGACACUUGUACAUCAUUAGCAUCGCAAGUACUCAUUUUCCAAAUGUGCAUUACAUUUGAUUUUAAAAAUUUGGUAUUCCUACCAUUAUCCUGAAAACAUAUAUAUUCACAUAUAAACUUUGUUCUUAUUGUGAGGAAACUCCAAAUGUUGAAGCCAUAUUCUUUAAUUGGUCUAUGAUUGAGGAGUGACCGUUGAAAUGUGUAGACUUCAAAAGGAUGUCUAACCUAAUAAUAGUGGUAAUUGUGGUUGAAUCUGAAAUAUUUGACUGCAAAUUCACCGGUUCUUUAGACCUUUCUGAUUCUCUUCGUUAUCUUUACUGGCAUGAUAUCCACUGAAAUCUUUACCGUAAAAUUUUACUCUAGAAAAUCUGGUUGAGCUUCAUAUGCCCGUAUGCAAUUUUAACAUUGAUUGUAUCAACAAGAAAGAUGUAAGACAAUGAAAGCUACAAUGAGGGAUUAUCCAUUCUAUAUAUGAAAAUCAAUCUUAAAAUGGAUGUUAAAAAAUUGAAAGCUACAAUGAGGGAUUAUCCAUUCUAGUCCUUCUCCAAAUGAUAGGAUUGUGAGGGAUAAGUUUGUUUCAUUCCAAUCCCCUUUGAAUUUUAAGAGUUACCUAUUACUUUAGUCUAAAGUAGGGGGAGGUGGCAUUGUGCAAUUUUGGGGUACAUUUCAGUUUACUUACGAAAUUGCCAUUGAGUCUCUCUGUUCCCUCAUUUAACGUUAUUUGCAAAAUUGCCAUUGGGCUUCAGAAAGGGUUUUGGGUCUUUGGGCUGGAAUUUCCGUCCAGAUUGGAAUUUUCGAUUAUUCGAUCCACGCGUUGAUCAUCGCUGGAUCGCCAGCUGUGUGGUAUUUGGUGAGGGGAUGGGUUACGUGUCCAUCAUUGUCGGAAGGUUUCCUUCGACUGCAACUUCUCGACUUUUCGUUCUGUUUCAACUUCUCUCUCACAAGCCUCUGCUUCAGUCGCUCUUGAUCUUCGCCUUUUCUAAGGCGUUUGAGGGACAAAAACCGAAAGCCAAACCACCACCACAAACGAAGUCACAAAUAGGGAUGGGCAACGGUUAUGGCGGACGGGUAACCGCGAUUAUUUACCCAUAACCAUUUAUACUUAUAUCCGCAUAAUUGUUUACCCGUUGGGUAAUUGCCCAAACAGUUAUACCCAUACUCAUAACCAUUUAUAAACGGUUAACCAUACCCAUAACAGCAUACCCAUUUAACCAUAACCGUUUAAUACCAGUUUACUCAUUUACUCUUUUUAACCUGUUUAAUUUUUAUUUAUUUUUUAUCAUUACCUCUUUUUUCACCCUUCUACAUGUUUUUUAACAACUUGAAAAUUAAAAAAAAAAUGUCAUAAUUUUUUUUUGGCAAUUAAACACCGUUAUAAGCACAUUCAUCUUACAUUUCCGUAUUAAAAUUUUUUAAAUCCUUAUCUCAUUCUAAUAAUUGAAAUAAUUUCCGGCAAAGACACAACGGUGUGCACUCGUACGUGGAUUAUUUAUAUGCUCAGCAAGCACCCUUAUAUGCAAGAAAAGGUUGUAACGGAAGUUUGAGAAGCAGCAAAUCUGAAAGAUGACUCAAGCAUUGUUGAACUUGCAGACAAUCUUAAUGAAGAUGCCCUUAAUAAAAUGCAGUAUGUCUUAGUAGCUUUGACUGAGACACAAAGGCUCUACCCUGUAAUUCCACUGGAAAUUUGACUAACAUCUUAACUAAAUCUAAUGCAUGCAUACUGCAAGGGAAAUGAUUUCAGUGCGCUCCCAUUUAUUUUUCUCACUUAAAUUUCUUUUGAUUUAUUCAAUUUAAGAAUAGAAAUACUCCAUGGAUCAUCGUUUAUUACUUUUUAAUUAAUUAAAACACUGCUAUAUAAACCACAUUAUAGUCAAUAGUAUUGAUCUAAGUUUUGUUUGAUAGAGAACAUGAUUUGUGUUAAUUUUAUAUAUAUAAAAUAAAUAGAUAAACGGUUACUCAUUUAUAACCAUGAUUAAUACUCAUAAUCAACUAUUUAUAUUUUACGGAUGAACGAUUAUACCUAUAACCGUUUAUUUAUUUAAACGGUUACCCAAAUGAUCGUGUAACCGCGGAUCAUCCCUAGUUACGAACGCCACUCUCACUCACCCUCCACCGUUACACACGCACCCAAUCAUAAUUCUGAAAUCCAAACACAACCCAGAUGUUAAUCCUUCAGAGAAUGGCAAUGGCCACUUCUUCUUCCUUCCUCUUAAUCCCUCUCCUCAAUACUCUUCUUUGCUUUCCCCAGUUAAACACCAAGCUCCGAGUUCAGGUCUCUGUCCUUGUACGGCGGUAGAACUGGAGACUCCACCUCCUCGGCGAUGGCCACAGAGGCUCAGGUCUCGACCCAAGACGACAAAUUGAAGGAUGCCCAGAUGGAGGUAGCUGAUAAACCUGAGACAGUCGUGCUUCCAACCAACGAGUCCUCCGAAAGCCUCAUCAUAAUUCGACACACGGUAUUUAUUGAAAUUUCAUUGCUUUGGAUUGGAUUUAUGAUUGUUUUAUGUUAAAUUGAAGUAGGGUGCUUUCCUGUUGAAUUUUUUGAAUUUUUAGAUUCUUAGGAGCUUCCCCUUUUUGAAAGUUUGAUGCUUUUAAUUAACUAUUUUCAAUUCUGCGUUACUAAUUGUCACCUGAUUCUAUUGUGAAGAAUGAGGAAGUGAGGAUGAAGAAAAUAAGAACCUAACUUUUCGGUAAUUUGAAAUUUGAUCGAAUAGGACAUGGAAAAAUGGGUGUACAUCAGUAGAUAAGCUGGGAAAAUUUUCAAGACUUGGAUUGUCUGCCCUCUAAUUUUGGUGCCCUCCCAGUGCCCUCUUGUUUUUGUGGUCAUGGUUAAGCCACAUCAACAUUUUAUAGUACUAUUUCUUUUUGUUUUAUUAUUUUUAUAAAAAAAUGAUAUAAAAUAUUGACGUGGCUUAACCGUGACCACACAAAACAGGAGGGCACCGAAAUGGGAGGGCAGACAAUCCAAGUCCAAAUUUUCAUCCUGUUUUUGGGAAUGUGAGAAGAUACAUGGGUUUCUGUAUUUUGAUAAAGUGUUGAGGUCGAGCUAUGUUCAUUUUUUUCUAAAUUUCCAUGUAGUUUGGUAUUAAUGGCGUCUUUUCCGCUGUUAUGGUGAUGAACUAUUUAUGUGUUUGACUGCAGUGUGCACACGUGAUGGCCCUGGCUGUUCAAAAGCUCUUCCCGGAUGCAAAAGUGACAAUUGGUCAGUGGAUAGAAAAUGGGUUCUAUUAUGAUUUUGAUAUGGAGCCUUUGACAGACAAAGAGUUGAAGAGAAUCAAGAAGGAGAUGGUAAGUGGAAUUUCUUUAUAAGUUAUCAUGUUUGUAUCAAAGUUUUGGAACCAUGAAACUAUUGAAAACUAUUCAUGAUCAUUUCUUUUGUGAUUUGUAGGAUCUCAUCAUUGGUAGAAACUUACCACUCAUAAGAGAAGAAGUUUCAAGAUAUGCUCACAAAAGAAUAACUGCGCUCAACGAAGCAUACAAAUUGGAAAUUUUGGAUAGUAUUAAAGAAGAUCCCAUUACCAUAUAUCAUAUUGGUAAGGGUUUCACUAUUUUCAGGCUCAAUAUAGUUUGGAAGGUGAUGAUUUAAUGUGCAGGAACUGUGCGUAAAUGAUAUUUUUAUUAGCUACACAAGUGAAAUGUACAGUGUUUGUGUCGAGUCUUAAGAUGGAAAUUUAAGGGAAUAAAAAAGAGAGGGCGGGGGUGUGCUCAGGGAAAACAAUGUUGUUGGUGCUCUUUAAAAAUGAGUUAUUGAUAUGCAAAUUGAAAAGGAGACUAAUUUGAAGGUGGGAGGAACCUUUUGGUCAAGCUAACCAAUUAUACUUAUGUUUAUACAUAUGCAUGCUUGUACUGGGAUUUGAUUGUGUUUUGAACUAGCAUCCUGUCAUAUUAGACUGUCUUUAUGUCAUAAUUCCUCAUAGUAUGCCGAAUUCUUCUUAUGUGAUGAAUGGUAGGAAGCAUGUGCAGGGCCCCAUGUUGAAAAAACUGGAAAUAUUAACGGAAAAGCUGUCGAACUUGAGUCUAUUGCUGGUGCUUGCUGGAGAGGAGAUGAAAAAAACCAAUGCUGCAGAGGAUCUAUGGCACUGCAUGGGAGAGUGAAGAUCAAUUGAAGGCAUAUCUUCAUUUCAAAGAGGAAGCUAAACGUCGAGAUCACAGGGGCUUUGAUCAAGUUCUUGACCUGUUUUCUAUACAGGUACUCAGAAUUGCCCUGAAUCUCUUUCUGCUGCUUACGCAGAUUUAUCAGUUAGCAAUCCCAUUAUUUGUAAUUAUGAGGAUUCUUGCAUUAACUCUGCCUGUGUAAGUUUAUCUUACAUUGCCGGUCCCAAGUCCGGGUAAAGGAGGAGGGGGAGGGCGUCAGGUAGUCGACAGCCGGCACUCCACAGUUACGUCGAAUCCUUAUGAAAAUGAAUCCAGAACGAAAUCGCGCUAAAGCUAGGGCGUCACCCGUAAGUGGCGCGCUGUGUGGCCCGAGCACAGUGAUAAGUGAGCAAGGGUCGCUGUAUCUCCAUCGGCACCCGGAUGCAGUGUUAAAUGAGCAAGGGGGCCAUAGAAACUUCUUUUCGAACGACUCCACUCAAAGUUGUUUGGGAGCAUAUACUCCUAUCAACUUUACACAGGACACACAAAAGAAGUACUUUGAUCCUAUUGGACGGGGGAGGGUGAAGAAGCUAGGACAAAAGGGUAGAGUUCAAGAGAGUAGAAUGCGUUUAGGAACGUGGAAUAUAGAAACCUUAACGGGAAAAUCUAUAGAAGUAGUGGAAGUUAUGGUGAGGAGAAGGAUAAAUAUUAUGUGCCUACAAGAAACUAAGUGGGUUGGUCUUAAGGCAAAGGAUCUAGAAAACUUAGGGUUUAAACUUUGGUAUUCGGGCACAAGUAGAACGAGAAACGGUGUUGGCAUCAUCUGUGGACAAGACCUUGACACAAGAUGUUGUAGAUGUCAAGAGGGUAGGAGAUAGAAUCAUGGCAAUCAAGAUUGUAAUAGGACAAGAACUCAUCAAUGUCAUUAGUGCGUACGCACCUCAAGUAGGGUUGGAUACGAGUUCGAAGGAGAAAUUUUGGGAAUACCUUGGAGACUUGGUGCUGGGAAUACCUUGGAGACUUGGUGCAAGGAAUUGCCCAGACGGAGAAGUUAUUUAUAGAGGAGAUUUAAAUGGACACGUGGGCAGGGAGACAGGCAACUAUAGAGGUUUUCAUGGUGGCCAUGGUUUUGGGGAGAGAAACGAGGAUGGGGAAGCUAUCUUGGAUUUUGCAAUGGCAUAUGAUCUCUUCUUAGCCAACACAUUCUUUAAGAAGAGAGAAGAACAUGUGAUCACCUACAAGAGUGGGUUGUCAAAAACACAAAUAGAUUUUCUUCUAAUGAGGAUAUGAGAUCGUAUAACUUGUAAGGAUUGCAAAGUUAUACCGGGAGAGAGCUUGGCUAAUUAACAUCGCUUGUUGGUGAUGGAUGUACAUAUCAAAAGAGUGAGAAAAAAGAACAAGACUUGGAAGUGCCCAAGGCCUAGAUGGUGGAAUCUAAAAGGAGAAAAACAAGCCAUUUUCAAAGAGAAAGUAAUCACCCAGUGUGGGUGGGAUAGAGAGGGGGAAGCUAGCUAAAUGUGGGAUUCCAUGGCUAGUUGUAUCCGAAAAGUAGCAAAAGAGGUAUUAGGAGAGUCCAAGGGCUUUGCCCCACACCAAAAGGAAUCUUGGUGGUGGAAUGAGGAGGUACAAACAAAGGUGAAGGCUAAGAAGGAAUGUUGUAAAGCCUUAUACAAGGACAGGACCGAUGAAAAUAGUGAAAGGUAUAGAAGAGCGAAGCAAGAGGCUAAGAAAGCUGUGAGAGAAGCUAAGUUAGCGGCUUAUGACGACAUGUAUAAGCGACUAGAUACCAAAGAAGGAGAGUUGGAUAUCUAUAAACUAGCUAGAGCAAGGGAAAAGAAGAUAAGGGACCUAAACCAAGUGAGGUGCAUCAAGGAUGAGGAUGGAAAGGUUCUUGCUACAGAGAAUGCGGUCAAAGACAGAUGGAGAGGUUAUUUUCAUAAUCUUUUCAAUGAAGGACAUGAAAGGAGUACUUCUUUAGGGGAGUUGAGUAAUUCAGAAGAGUGUAGAAACUACUCAUUUUAUCGUCGAAUCAGGAAGGAAAAAGUGGUUGUAGCUUUGAAGAAAAUGAAGCAUAGAAAAACAGUGGGCCCAGAUGAUAUAUCGAUCGAAGUGUGGAAAGUCUUGGGAGAGACAAGUAUAGCAUGGCUCACUGACCUUUUCAAUAGGAUUUUGAAAACGAAGAAGAUGCCAACUGAGUGGUGAAAGAGCACUUUGGUGCCUAUAUACAAGAAUAAGGGCGACGUACAAAAUUGCAUGAAUUAUAGGGGUAUUAAGCUAAUGAGCCAUACAAUGAAGCUCUGGGAGAGAGUCAUUGAGCAUAGAUUGAGGUAAGAGACACGGGUUUCGGACAACCAAUUCGGGUUCAUGCCAGGGCGCUCAACCAUGGAGGCAAUCUAUCUCUUACGAAGAUUGAUGGAAAGAUAUAGAGAUGGGAAAAAGGAUUUACACAUGGUCUUUAUAGAUUUGGAAAAAGCUUAUGAUAGGGUCCCAAGAGACAUUCUUUGGAGGAUUUUAGAGAAGGAAGAAGUACGAGCAGCAUAUAUCCAAGCUAUAAAGGAUAUGUAUGAAGGAGCAAAGACUGCCGUAAGAACUCAUGAAUGACAAACCGAAAGCUUCUCCAUAACUGUAGGAUUACAUCAAGGCUCAUCCUUAAGUCCUUACCUUUUUGCGUUGGUAAUGGAUGAGUUAACAGGACAUAUUCAAGAUGAUAUUCCUUGGUGUAUGCUUUCCGCAGAUGAUAUAGUGUUGAUAGAUGAAACUCAGGAAGGGGUAAAUGCGAAGCUUAACCUUUGGAGAGAAAUGUUGGAAUCUAAAGGUCUUCGCCUAAGCCGAUCAAAGAAAGAAUAUAUGGAGUGCAAGUUCAGUGCAAAUGGAGGCCAAAAUGAGUUAGGGGUGAGGAUCGGAGAUCAGGAAAUACCAAAGAGCGAUCGUUUUCGCUACUUAGGAUCUAUCUUGCAAAAGAACGGAGAAUUAGAUGGAGAUCUCAACCAUAGAAUACAAGCUGGAUGGAUGAAGUGGAAGAGUGCAUCCGGCGUGUUGUGUGACCGUCGUAUGCCACUGAAGCUCAAGGAAAAAUUUUAUAGGACAACAAUAAGGUCGGCGAUGCUGUAUGGCACAGAAUGUUGGGCGGUGAAGCAUCAACACGUACACAAAAUGGGUGUAGCGGAGAUGAGGAUGCUUCGUUGGAUGUGUGGGCACACGAGAAAUGAUAAGAUUAGGAAUGAGGAUAUCCGAGGUAAAGUAGGAGUAGCCGAAAUUGUACGAAAAUUGAGAGAAAAUUGGUUACAGUGGUUUGGACAUGUGCAAAGAAGGCCUACUGACGCUCCGGUUAGAAUAUGCGACUACAGGACAGAGGUUUAGGGCCGAAGGGGUAGAGGAAGACCUAGGAAAACUUUGGAAGAGACUCUAAGAAAAGACUUAGAGUAUUUGGAUCUAACGGAGGACAUGACACAGGACUGAGCACAAUGGCAUUCUAAGAUUCAUAUAGCCGACCCCACUCAGUGAAGAAGGCUUUGGUGUAUUUAACACAAUACGUUGAAAUGAAGCAAAACUUAUUUAUUGAUAUCUCCGAUAAGUUACAAAUAUGUACAUAUACAUGAGUCAAAAUAAACAAACAAGAGGGAGCCUUCACAAAGGUUGCUUAGGAGAAGUCUCAGCAGUUGGUAGAGCCCCAGAAAGAGAAGGCACCGGAGGGGUAUCAUUCGAAGCCUCAGUACUGGACAGAACCCUAGAAGGAGGAGGCAUCGAAGGUUGAUCAUUUGGAGCUUCAGUACGCGGUACAGCCCCAGAAGACGAAGGCAAUAAAUGCCUUUGGAACAAACCCACAAACCGCUGAUGAUCAAGUAAAACCUGACCAUCAGAUUCCUUCAUCUGGUCAAGCUUCCUCUUCAUGUUUGUAGCAUAGUCAUGUGCGAGCCGGUGCAACUGUUUAUUCUCAUGCUUGAGCCCUCUAAUCUCUUAUUUGAAACUCAUCACUUCAGCCGCCAAUGAUUCAACUUGGCAGGUUCGAGCAAAUAGGCGCUGGGCCAUAUUAGACACAGAACCUGCACACUGAACACUUAGAGCCAGAUAAUCCUUAACAGCCAACUCAUCAGACCGUUUGCAAAGUAAUCUGUUAUAUUUGGGAGUGAGAAAGUUCCUGGCCACCACCGCAGCAGUCAUAUCAUUCUUCAUCACGGAAUCCCCAACGGUAAGCGGACCAGUAGGGGAUAAGAAAGAUGGACGCCAUAUGUUGUCUGGAGAAGGCGUGGCUGCCUCUUCAACGAGGUUCAAGUCAAAACGACGGUCGGAGGGGCCAGAAAUUUUCAAAGGUGUUGAAGAGAGAAGUGGUCGGACAAAUCAAGAUCUUAGAAGUGCAAGAAUGGAGCUUCUACUGGUGAAGAUUCAAGUGUGCUUUGGAACUUAAUGUCAGCCUCUAUAAAAAUCUGCACUCGACGGAGCUUCAGAAAUCGAAGAGGCGCCUGCCCAGAAAUCGAAGAGGCAUUUGCUUUCUCAAAAGUUGGGCUGCUCAAAGACCACGAGGGUCGAUCUCAGAAAUCGAAGAGGCGUUUGCUUUCUCAAAAGCUGGGCUGCUCAAAGACCACGAAGGCCGAUCUCAGAAAUCGAAGAGGCACUUGCUUUCUCAAAAGCUGGGUUGCUUAGAGACCACGAAGGCCGAUCUCAGAAAUCGAAGAGGCACCUGCUUUUUUCAGCCUUGUCAGCACCUGUCACAUGCACACUCAGCUUUGCUGAAAUUACGGGCAUUCUGUUGAAUAUUUCUGGUGAAGUAGAAAGCACGUGAAUCUUAUUGUUCAAUCAUCCACUUUCCACACGCACCAUCAGCUCAUGGGUACCAUAGAUAACUUUGCCAAAGAUCUCUGACAAAGUUUAGACACGUGAAGCUUGCAGCUCCCACUACAUCGCUAUGAUCAAGAAGGGUAAAAGAAUAGCAAAGAAACAGCACUAACAAAGUUUAGAUACAUAAAUUUUGAAGGUCUAGCUACCAUAUUAUUACCUACAAGGGUAAAGGAACAGCACCGCUGCUGGAUAAUCGGAAAGUCCUUGUAUGUCAACCUAUGUGCUCUGUGGCAAGGUAGACUAGCAAACAUGCCCAAACUUUACUUACAUUCGAGAAAACACUCCCAACAAGAUUGCUUGCUCCAAAAUCGAAGAGGCACCGUCCUCUGAAUCUCGAGAGCCAGACUCCCAACAUGAUUACUUUCUCAAAAUUGAAGAGACACCGCUCUCCGAAUCUCGAGAGCUAGACUCCCAGCAGGAUUGCUCUCUCAAAAAUCGAAGAGGCACCGUUUUCCGAAUCUCGAGAGCCAGAUCUCCGACAAGAUUACUUGUACGAAAACCGAAAAGGCACCGCUUUCUCAACUUCAAGAGCCAGAUCUCCUUGGAUAAAGCUUGUCUGUAAUCUUCACACGCAACAUCAGCUUUCCAGAUACCACAGACCACUUUUUCAAAGUGCUCUGACACACGUGAAGCUAGCAACUCCCACUACCGUGCUAUGACCAAGCAGGGUAAAGGAAUAGUAUUACUACUUGUUGUUAGGGAAACUCCUAUAUAUGUCGACCUCCAUCCUCAACGGACAGGCAGACCUGCAAAAAUGCUCAACACUUCCUCAUAUCCGAGAGGGCACUCCCAACGAAGCCUCUCGAAAUACUCAGCUUUCUUUCCCCCCGAUAAUACCUCUGCAAACAAGCUACACCAGAGCAAGAAUAUCUCAUAUCAUCAGGGUUAAAAGCAAGAGUAUCCCAUAUCAUGCUUUUUCCCUGUCUUUUCCUUUGGCCUUGUUCUUACCUGCAAGACAAGGAGAAAGAGAGCAAUCAGUCAGCACUUGGAAUCAAGCUUCCAGUCAGGAACUGACUGCCUGGAACCCCUUACCUGAUUACUUACCUGGCAUUGCUCUCGAGUACCCAUCUUCAAAAUCUUAUGCUUCCAGAGAAGAUACCACAUCUGCCUGAGGAACAGAUAGGGAAAGUGAGAAGGAUACAAGGAAGCAUGUGGAGACAAACGUAACAGAACACGUGCCGAUACAUCCACUACUUUGUCAACAGCAAAAGUAUCUCAUAUCAGCAGGGUCGAACGUACUCUAGAUUUGAUGGACGUGUUUUGACCCUCAAAUUCUUCAGUCGGCCUUAUACUCUGGAAGAAACCAGAAAAUCCUCCAGCCCAGUUCAAGAAUAAGCCUGUGUAAAGUUACUUAUUCAAAAGCAAAAGUAUCUCAUAUCAUCUAUUCUCCUUUUCUUCUCUUUAUCCUUCAUGCUGCCUGCAAGAUAGGGAGAAUGAGAACAAUCAGCCGGAACUCGAAAUCAAACUUCUGAUCUGGGACUAAUUGCUUGGAGCUCUGAUUGCUUACCUUGUCUGUCACCUUUUUCAGCAUAUCCCCUAGCUCGGUGACUUGGGGGACUCCUACUACAUGGUUUGUAUCGCGCUUGACCAAGCCUGAAACUACAAGUAAGCUUCAAGUGAAUUUGAUACAUUACCUUGUGCAUCUCCACCAGUUAAAGAUACCACCCCUUGAUGGAGGAAGCGUACUUCCAGAGAAGAUGCCACAUCUACCUAUGAGACAGUUAAGGCAAGUGAAGACGAGAGCAUGCACCUAUGUGAUUUGUACUAAAUCAUUCACUUGUACUCACUAAAGGAGAGCUUGAACCUAUGUACUUGCGUAAACUCUUCACAAUUAAUGAGAACUCCUCUACUCCGUGGACGUAGCCAAUCUGGGCGAACCACGUACAUCUUGUGUUUGCUUUCUUGUCUCUAUCCAUUUACAUACUUAUCCACAUUAAUGACCAGAGCAAUCUAGCGAAGAUCACAAACUUAAUACUCUCUGUUGUACCAAAGUCCUCACUGAUUUUGUGCAUCAACAAUCCUUAAGUCUUUACAUUUUUGCGUUGGUAAUGGAUGAGUUAAUAGGACAUAUUCAAGAUGAUAUUCCUUGGUGUAUGCUUUUCGCAGAUGAUAUAGUGUUGAUAGAUGAAACUCAUACGGGGUAAAUGCGAAACUUAACUUUUGGAGAGAAGUGUUGGAAUCUAAAGGUCUUCGCCUAAGCCGAUCAAAGACAGAAUAUAUGAAGUGCAUGUUCAUUACAAAUGGAGGCCAAAAUGAGUUAUGGGUGAGGAUCGGAGAUCAGGAAAUACCAAAGAGCGACCGUUUUCGCUACCUAGGAUCUAUAUUGCAAAAGAAUGGAGAAUUAGAUGGAGAUCUCAACCAUAGAAUACAAGCUGGAUGGAUGAAGUGGAAUAGUGCUUCUGGCGUGUUGUGUAACCGUCGUAGGCCACUAAAGCUCAAGGAAAAAUUUUAUAGGACGGUAAUAAGGCCGACGAUGCUGUAUGGCACAGAAUGUUGGGCAGUGAAGCAUCAACACGUACACAAAAUGGGUUUAGACAUGUACAAAGAAGGCCUACUGACGCUCCGGUUCGAAGAUGGGACUACGAGAUAGAGGUUCAGGGCCGAAGGGGUAGAGGUAAACCUAGGAAAACUUUGGAAGAGACCCUAAGAAAAGACUUAGAGUACUUUGAUCUAACGGAGGAUAUGACACAAAAUUGCGCACAAUGGCGUUCUAGGAUUCAUAUAGCCGACCUCACUUAGUGGGAAAAGGCUUUGUUGUUGUUGUUGUAUGAGGAUUCUUGCAUUGAACAUUUUCAUUGUUGAAUUUUCACAGAAUGAUGCUGGUGGUGGUUUAGUGUUCUGGCAUCCAAAGGGUGCUAUUGUGAGGCAUGUAAUGGAAGAUUUGUGGAAAAAGAUUCACAUAGAACGUGGUUACAAUCUGCUUAUACUCCACAUGUUGCAAAGGCGAACCUUUGGCAGAUAAGUGGUCAUCUGGAUUACUACAAGGAGAAUAUGUAUGAUCAAAUGAAUGUUGAGGAUGAACUUUAUCAGCUUCGACCGAUGAACUGCCCCUAUCAUAUCUUGGUUUACAGAAAGAAGCCUUACUCAUAUCAUGAAUUUCCUAUUCAAGUUGUUGAGUUGGGAACCGUUUAUAGAUACGAAUUAUCUGGAAGCUUGCAUGGUCUUUUUCGUGUAAGAGGUUUUACUCAGGUACAGUGUUAGUAUUUGCAAACUAUUAGUCUAUAAUCCUUGGUGUAUGAAGUGUUUUUUUUUUUUUUAACCUCAGGACUUGUUGCAGGAUGAUGCCCACAUAUUUUUUCAAGAAGAUCAGAUCAAAGAUGAAAUUAAGGGUGUCCUAGAUCUUACCGAAUAACUUUUGUUGCAAUUCGGCUUCAGCAAAUAUGAGGUCAAUCUCUCUUCGAGGCCAGAGAAAGCUGUUGGAGAUGGUGAUAUAUGGGUGAAAGGCAACAUCUGCCCUUACUCCUUAGAGAUGCUUUGGAUGAUAAAGGUUGGAGCUAUCAAAUUGAUGAAGGUGGUGGUGCCUUUUAUGGUCCAAAGAUUGAUCUUAAGAUUGAGGAUGCCCUUGGAAGGAGGUGGCAGUGCUCAACUAUACAAGUUAAUCCUGAACUCAUGACGGGAUAAUUCUAAUGUACGCUUUGUUUUUUAAUUGGUAGUCUCUAUGUCUAUCUCCGUAUCACUUUGUAAAAUGUUCAUUGGAGAUUUGAGCAUCUUUUUUUAAUUGAGCGAAUUACAUGGAUUUGUUUGCUAGAGUAAAGCCACUUAUUAUUGUUAUUUUAAAUUGUUUGAUCUUUUGUACUUCCCAAAUUGUACAAGUUGAUUUUCCAUUAUGGCUUUCGCCAAUACAAGCUCAUGUUUUACCAGUUACUGACUCUCAGGUUUGUAAAGCAGUUGCACGUUUAAUGUUUCAAUUAACUCAAGGACCCUCAACACACCUGCACGACGGUUACCUGGGCUAUGACCCCUGACUCUCCUCCCAGUGAUUCGACUCCUUUGUCGACUCCGAGUCGCUCAAGGACUCCACCACCGAUUCCCCAAUCUUCCACGGCUCCACCAUAGACGACGCUUUCGAACGGCCAGGGCUUUGAUGGAGGGUUUGGCGGGUCCGACGAUCCCAUUUUGCCGGUUCCGUCUGAGAUACUGCCUGAGGAGGGCUUCGCUCUCAGAAAAUGGAGGAGGUAGGAUCUCGAAUUCUAAUUGUUUUCAAUUGAACCGAUAGUUCUGUAUAGCAAUUAAAUUUUGACUCUUUUGUGCAAUUUAGUUGAAAGUUGUUGGUUUUGAUUUGGCUUGAUCUUUCUGUUGAUGAGAAAUUAGGUGGAAAUUGUUGUUUUGAUUUCGAUAGUUUUCAAGAAUUGCAUGCUUAGUGAUCAGCAAUCGUCUGGCUUUAUCGGGUAAGGAGAUAAAGCAAUUAAAUUUCAAAAUUUGGAUUUACAGUUCGUAUUUUGAGCCUGAAUUCAUGAAAACAAACAUAACCCAUUAUUUAUUAGCGAUUAAUGAUCUGAUUAAUUUAGUUUUUAAUCAUAAUCAAUAGCAUGUAGCUUUAAUGGAAGUGGGGUUUGGGAAAUUGGCUAGCACCCAUUUUGCUUUUUGUUUGUCUGCUUUCCAUUUCUCCUCUCUCUUGCCAUCUUCUUUGUAUUUUGGCUACUUCUCUCUCCCGCACUCCCUUUUUAACUCUUGGUUCUGUGGUUCUCCGGCUGCCGUUAGGUUUUUGUGGUCGAACAACGAUGGAAUCCGAGGAUGAUGACUACUACAGCAACGACAAUGACUCCUAGAAAUUUUUAUUUUGAAUUCGGAAUUGGUUUGAUUGAAGCCCCCUAAUUGAUUGUAUUUAGGUUGGAUUUUUAUGCAUCAGGAAUUUCAAUUGAAGCCUCCUAAUUGGAUAAUGUUUUUCCCAUGUUAGGCUUCUCUGAUUGAGGUGAUACAGAUACCAAAUUGGAGCGGUGCUGUUAGUGGAGGAAUCUGGUAGAAACGAUGAGUUUGUAGAUUGAAUUUGUAUAUGAUGAUAAUAAAAAAUGAUAUGUUGUUUUCGUAAUUCUUUUUGCUUUCAAAGUUUAUUGCUUGGUUGUGUUCGUAACCUCUGGGUUCUUACGGUUCUUUGUCUCUCUUACUUCAGAUUCUUUGUGUUUUUUAUCAUUCGUUUGUGAAGAAAUGGGUCGUACGUAGUGGUAAGGCUCUGAGGAAGGCACUUGCCACCAAGGUGCGUUUCGUUUGGGUUUCUGAUGUCUAGAAAAUUAGAAUUGAUAAUUGCAAGCAAUUUUUUCCGAGAAACAAUCAGAUUAUUGAAUCUAAGUUGCUAAUUGUUUUAAUUUUGUAUAUGCUGCAAUUAAAUCAGCACCCGCAACUGAAGGUGUCAAGAAGCCUGACUGCUACCGCCUUGGAAUCGUCAUUUUUCGGUAAGUUUUCAACACAAUAUAGUUCAAAUCCUCUGAAUCAUGUUCUUGAAUUUUACUAUAUGUAUCGUGUUCUUUGCAUUUCGUUAUCUGAAAUUUGUUCUUUGAAUUUGGUUACCAGAAUCGUGCCUAAUGUUUGAUGUGGCCAGUGGCUUUGUAUGGUUGGCUGGUGUGAUUUGGGAGUGUUUUUAGUUAAUGGCAGACAUAGGACAAAGGUGUGGGGCAGCGAAGUCAAGUGGGAUUAGGAAUUUAGGAUAGUAGACUGUUUGCUAAUUUAUGGGAUUAGAAGUCUUCCUUUAUUUUUUCUCUUCAUGUAACAACAACAACAACAACAAAGCCUUUUCCCACUAAGUGGGGUCGGCUAUAUGAAUCCUAGAACGCCAUUACGCUCGGUUUUGCACAUGUCCAAACCCAUUUUGUGUACGUGUUGAUGCUUCACCACCCAACAUUCUGUGCCAUACAUCAUCGCCGGCCUUAUUGCCGUCCUAUAAAAUUUUCCCUUGAACUUCAGUGGCCUACGACGGUCACACAACACGCCGGAUGCACUCUUCCACUUCAUCCAUCCAGCUUGUCUUCUAUGGUUGAGAUCUCCAUCUAAUUCUCCGUUCUUUUGCAAGAUAGAUCCUAGGUAGCGAAAACGGUCGCUCUUUGGUAUUACAUGAUUUUCGAUCCUCGCCCCUAACUCAUUUUGGCCUCCAUUUGCACUGAGCUUGCACUCCAUAUAUUCUAUCUUUGAUCGACUUAGGCGAAGACCUUUAGAUUCCAACACUUGUCUCCAAAGGUUAAGCUUCGCAUUGACCCCUCAUGAGUUUCAUCUAUCAACACUAUAUCAUUUGCGAGAAGCAUACACCAAGGAAUAUCAUCUUGAAUAUGUCCGGUUAACUCAUCCAUUACCAACGUAAAAGGGUAAGGACUUAAGGAUUGUUGAUGCACAAAAUCAGUGAGGACUUUGGUACAACAGAAAGUAUUAAGUUAUUGCUCUGGUCAUUAGUGUGGAUAAGUAUGUAAAAGGAUAGAGAUAGGAAAGCAAACAUAAAAUGUACGUAGUUCACCCAGAAAGUAACUUUCCACAGGCUUAUUCUUGAACUGGGCUGGAGGGAUUUCUGGUUUCCUCCAGAGUAUAAGGCCGAUUGAAGAAUUUGAGGGUCAAAACAAGUCCAUCAAAUCUAGAGUACGUUCGACCCUGCUGAUAUGAGAUACUUUUGCUGUUGACAAAGUAGUGGAUGUAUCGGCACGCGUUCUGUUACGCUUGUCUCCAUAUGCUUCCUUGUAUCCUUCUCACUGUCCUUAUCGGUUCCUCAGGCAGAUGUGGUAUCUUCUCUGGAAGCAUAAGAUGUUGAAGAUGAGUACUCGAGAGCAGUGCCAGGUAAGUAAUCAGGUAAGGGUUCCAGGCAGUCAGUUCCUGACUGGAAGCUUGAUUCCAAGUGCUGACUGAUUGCUCUCUUUCUCCUUGUCUUUUGCAGGUAAGAACAAGGCCAAAGGAAAAGACAGGGAAAAAACAUGAUAUGGGAUACUCUUGCUUUUAACCCUGAUGAUAUGAGAUAUUCUUGCUUUGGUGUAGCUUGUUUGCAGAGGUAUUAUCGGAGGGAAAGAAAGCUGAGUAUUUCGAGAGACUUCUUUGGGAGUGCCCUCUCAGAUAUGAGGAAGGGUUGAGCAUUUUUGCAGGUCUGCCUGUCCGUUGAAGAUGAAGGUCGACAUAUAUAGGAGUCUCCCUAACAACAAGUAGUAAUGCUAUUCCUUUACCUUGCUUGGUCAUAGCACGGUAGUGGGAGCUGCCAGCUUCAUGUGUGUCAGAGCACUUUGAAAAAGUGGUAUGUGGUAUCUGGAAAGCUGAUGUUGCGUGUGAAGAUUAGACACAAGCUUUAUCCAAGGAGAUCUGGCUCUCGAAGUUGAGAAAGCGGUGCCUCUUCGGUUUUCAAACAAGCAAUCCUGCGGGGAUCUGGCUCUCAAUAUUCGGAGAACGGUGCCUCUUCGAUUUUUGAGAGAGCAAUCCUGCUGGGAGUCUGGCUCUCGAGAUUCGGAGAGCGAUGUCUCUUCGAUUUUGAGAAAUUAAUCAUGUUGGGAGUCUGGCUCUCAAGAUUCGGAGAACAGUGCCUCUUCAAUUUUAGAGCAAGCAAUCUUGUUGGGAGUGUUUUCUCGAAUGUGAGUAAAGGCAGGGCAUGUUUGCUAGUCUACCUUGCCACGGAGCACAGAGGUUGACACACAGGGACUUUCUAAUUAUCCAGCAGUGGUGCUGUUCCUUUACCCUUGUGGAUAAUAAUAUGAUAGCUAGACAUUCAAAAUUUAUGUGUCUAAACUUUGUUAGUGCUGUUUCUUUGCUAUUCUUUUACCCUUCUUGAUCAUAGCGAUGUAGUGGGAGCUGCAAGCUUCACGUGUUUAAACUUUGUCAAAGAUCUUUGACAAAGUUAUCUGUGGUACCCCUGAGCUGAUGGUGCGUGUGAAAAGUGGAUGAUUGAAUAGUAAGAUUCAUGUGCUUUUUACUUCACCAGAAAUCUUCAACAGAAUGCCCGUAAUUUCAGCAAAGCUGAGUGUGCAUGUGACAGGUGCUGACAAGGCUGAAAAAAGUAGGUGCCUCUUCGAUUUCUAAGAUCGACCCUCGUGGUCUCUAAGCAACCUAGCUUUUGAGAAAGCAAGCCUCUUCGAUUUCUAAGAUCGGUCUUCGCGGUCUUUUAGCAGCUCAGCUUUUAAGAAAGCAAACGCCUCUUCGAUUUCUGAGAUCGGCCCUCAUGGUCUCUGAGCAGCCUAGCUUUUGAGAAAGCAAACGCCUCUUCGAUUUCUGGGCAGACGCCUCUUCGAUUUUUUAAGCUCCGUCGAGUGCAGAUUUUUAUAGCGGCUGGCAUUAAGUUUCAAAGCACACUUGAAUCUUCACCAGGAGAAGCUCCCUUCUUGCACUUCUAAAAUCUUGAUUUGUCCGACCUCUUCUCUCUUCAACACCUUUGAAAAUGUCUGGCCCAUCCGACCGUCGUUUUGACUUGAACCUUGUUGAAGAGGCAGCCACGCCUUCUCUAGACAACAUAUGGCGCCCAUCCUUCUUAUCCCCUACUGGUCAUCUUACCGUUGGGGAUUCCGUGAUGAAGAAUGAUAUGACCGCUACGGUGGUGACCAUGAACCUUCUCACUCCCAAAGAUAACAGACUAUUUUCCAAACGGUCUAAUGAAUUGGCUGUUAAGGAUUCUCUGGCUCUGAGUAUUCAGUGUGCAGGUUCUGUGUCUAAUAUGGCCCAACGCCUAUUUGCUCUAACCCGCCAAGUUGAAUCAUUGGCAGCUGAAAUGAUGAGUCUCAAACAAGAAAUUAGAGGGCUCAAGCAUGAGAAUAAACAGUUGCACCGGCUCGCACAUAACUAUGCUAUAAACAUGAAGUGGAAGCUUAACCAGAUGAAGGAAUCUGAUGGUCAGGUUUUACUUGAUCAUCAGCGGUUUGUGGGUUUGUUCCAAAGGCAUUUAUUGCCUUCGUCUUCUGGGGCUGUACCGCAUAAUGAAGCUCCAAAUGAUCAACCUCCGAUGCCUCCUCCUUCUAGGGUUCUGUCCAAUACUGAGGCUCCUAAUGAUCCCCCUCCGAUGCCUUCUCUUUCUAGAGCUCUACCAACUGCUGAGACUUCUCCUAAGCAACCUUUAUGAAGGCUCCCUCUUGUUUGUUUAUUUUGACUCAUGUAUAUGUACAUAUUUGUAACUUAUCGGAGAUAUCAAUAACUAAGCUUUGCUUCAUUUCCAACGUAUUGUGUUAAAUACACCAAAGCCUUCUUCAUUGAGUGGAGUCCGCUAUAUGAAUCUUAGAACGCCAUUGUGCUCGGUCCUGUGUCAUGUCCUCCGUUAGAUCCAAAUACUCUAAGUCUUUUCUUAGAGACUCUUCCAAAGUUUUCCUAGGUCUUCCUCUACCCCUUCGGCCCUGAACCUCUGUCCCGUAGUAACAUCUUCUAACCGGAGCGUCAGUAGGCCUUUUUUGCACAUGUCCAAACCACCGUAACCGAUUUUCUCUCAACUUUCCUACAAUUUCGGCUACUCCUACUUUACCUCGGAUAUCCUCAUUCCUAAUCUUAUCCUUUCUCGUGUGCCCACACAUCCAACGAAGCAUCCUCAUCUCCGCUACACCCAUUUUGUGUACGUGUUAAUGCUUCACCGCCCAACAUUCUGUGCCAUACAGCAUCGCCGACCUUAUUGUCGUCCUAUAAAAUUUUCCCUUGAGCUUCAGUGGCAUACGGCGGUCACACAACACGCCGGAUGCACUCUUCCACUUCAUCCAUCUAGCUUGUAUUCUAUGGUUGAGAUCUCCAUCUAAUUCUCCGUUCUUUUGCAAGAUAGAUUCUAAGUAGCGAAAACGAUCGCUCUUUGGUAUUUCCUGAUCUCCGAUCCUCACCCCUAACUCAUUUUGGCCUCCAUUUGCACUAAACUUGCACUUCAUAUAUUCUGUCUUUGAUCGGCUUAGGCGAAGACCUUUAGAUUCCAACAGUUGUCUCCAAAGGUUAAGCUUCGCAUUUACCCCUUCCUGAGUUUCAUCUAUCAAUACUAUAUCGUCUGCGAAAAGCAUACACCAAGGAAUAUCAUCUUGAAUAUGUCAUGUUAACUCAUCCAUUACCAACGCAAAAAGGUAAGGACUUAAGGAUGAGCCUUGAUGUAAUCCUACAAUUAUGGAGAAGCUUUCGGUUUGUCAUUCAUGAGUUCUUACGGCAGUCUUUGCUCCUUCAUACAUAUCCUUUAUAGCUUGGAUAUAUGCUACUCGUACUCCUUCAUUCUCUAAAAUCCUCAAAAGAAUGUCUCUUGGGACCCUAUCAUAAGCUUUUUCCAAAUCUAUAAAGACCAUGUGUAAAUCCUUUUUCCCAUCUCUAUAUCUUUCCAUCAAUCUUCGUAAGAGAUAGAUUGCCUCCAUGGUUGAGCGCCCUGGCAUGAACCCGAAUUGGUUGUCCGAAACCCGUGUCACUUACCUCAAUCUAUGCUCAAUGACUCUCUCCCAAAGCUUCAUUGUAUGACUCAUUAGCUUAAUACCCCUAUAGUUCAUGCAAUUUUGUACGUUGCCCUUAUUCUUGUAGAUAGGCACCAAAGUGCUCUUUCGCCACUCAUUUGGCAUCUUCUUCGUUUUCAAAAUCCUAUUGAAAAGGUCAGUGAGCCAUGCUAUACCUGUCUCUCCCAAGACUUUCCACACUUCGAUCGGUAUAUUGUCUAGGCCCACUGCUUUAUAAUGCUUCAUCUUCUUCAAAGCUACAACCACUUCUUCUUUCCUGAUUCGACGAUAAAAUGAGUAGUUUCUACACUCUUCUGAGUUACUCAACUCCCCUAAAGAAGUACUCCUUUCAUGUCCUUCAUUAAAAAGAUUAUGAAAAUAACCUCUCCAUCUGUCUUUGACCGCGUUCUCUGUAGCAAGAACCUUUCCAUCCUCAUCCUUGAUGCACCUCACUUGGUUUAGGUCCCUUGUCUUCUUUUCCCUUGCUCUAGCUAGUUUAUAGAUAUCUAACUCUCCUUCUUUGGUAUCUAGUCGCUUAUACAUAUCGUCAUAAGCCGCUAACUUAGCUUCUCUCACAACUUUCUUCGCCUCUUGCUUCGCUCUUCUAUACCUUUCACCAUUUUCAUCGGUCAUGUCCUUGUAUAAGGCUUUACAACAUUCCUUCUUAGCCUUCACCUUUGUUUGUACCUCCUCAUUCCACCACCAAGAUUCCUUUUGGUAUGGAGCAAAGCCCUUAGACUCUCCUAAUACCUCUUUUGCUACUUUUCGGAUACAACUAGCCAUGGAAUCCCACCUUUGGCUAGCUUCCCCCUCUCUAUCCCACCCAUACUGGGUGAUUACUUUCUCUUUGAAAAUGACUUGUUUUUCUCCUUUUAGAUUCCACCAUCUAGUCCUUGGGCACUUCCAAGUCUUGUUCUUUUUUUCUCACUCUUUUGAUAUGUACAUCCAUCACCAACAAGCGAUGUUAAUUAGCCAAGCUCUCUCCCGGUAUAACUUUGCAAUCCUUACAAGUUAUACGAUCCCCUUUCCUCAUUAGAAGAAAAUCUAUUUGUGUUUUUGACGACCCACUCUUGUAAGUGAUCACAUGUUCUUCUCUCUUCUUAAAGAAGGUGUUGGCUAAGAAGAGAUCAUAUGCCAUUGCAAAAUCCAAGAUAGCUUCCCCAUCCUCGUUUCUCUCCCCAAAACCAUGGCCACCAUGAAAACCUCCAUAGUUGCCUGUCUCCCUGCCCACGUGUCCAUUUAAAUCUCCUUCUAUAAAUAACUUCUCCGUCUGGGCAAUUCCUUGCACCAAGUCUCCAAGGUCUUCCCAAAAUUUCUCCUUCGAACUCGUAUCAAACCCUACUUGAGGUGCAUACGCACUAAUCACAUUGAUGAGUUCUUGUCCUAUUACAAUCUUGAUUGCCAUGAUUCUAUCUCCUACCCUCUUGACAUUUACAACAUCUUGUGUCAAGGUCUUGUCCACGAUGAUGCCAACACCGUUUCUCGUUCUAUUUGUGCCCGAAUACCAAAGUUUAAACCCUGAGUUUUCUAGAUCCUUUGCCUUAAGACCAACCCACUUAGUUUCUUGUAGGAACAUAAUAUUUAUCCUUCUCUUCACCAUAACUUCCACUACUUCCUUAGAUUUUCCGGUUAAGGUUCCUAUAUUCCACGUUCCUAAAUGCAUUCUGCUAUCUUGAACUCUACCUUUCUGUCCUAGCUUCUUCACCCUCCCCCGUCCAAUAGAAUCAAAGUACUUCUUUUGUGUGUCCUGUGUAAAGUUGAUAGGAGCAUAUGCUCCCAAACAACUUUGAGUGGAGUCGUUCGAAAAGAAGUUUAUAUGGCCCCCUUGCUCAUUUAACACUGCAUCUAGGUGCUGAUGGAGAUACGGCAACCCUUGCUCACUUAUCACUAUGCUCGGGCCACACAACGCGCCAUUUACGGGUGACGCCCUAGCUUUAGCGCGAUUUCGUGCGAUGAAAAAAAAAAGGUGAGUAAUUUUAACUCUAGUUUGAGGUAAUAACAUGUGAAUUUUUCGUAUUACUGGUUUUUCCCUUUCUAUUAAAAACAACCUUUGAUUUCUUUGAUAGUGCGUUUUUCUAUCUGUGCUAUUGUUGAACUCCCCCAGUUAUCAGUUUUGACUCAAAAAAAAUAUUCGAUGAUAACAUGCAUUGAAUAUUGGCUAAAAUUAUAUUGAAAUUUGCUGGCCGAAGCAGAUAUCGUUAAAAGAGCUCUAAGUCACCCUCUGAAAUUAAUUGCCAAAAGUGAUGUUGUAAAUGGAAGAGUUGUUAGUGAGAAGGCAUUUUUUUUCGUUUCACUUUAUAGACUAUGCUCACUAUCUGUUUAAUAUGUUUCAUCGUAUUAAUUAAAGUCUCAUUUCUCAGGUGCUUUCAAGUGACAACCCCAACUAUGGAUGCAUGCUGCCACUGGAAACUAUGAAAAUUUCAUGGUUGCUGGGAUCACUGAUCCAACUAAAGUGGGUUUCUUUAUCAAGUACUUCAUGAAUAGAAUAUUUUGGAGAUCCUAUCGCUGGGACAGAUUGAAGAAGAUGAAGAUCACAAGGGUGGGAUACUGGGGAGGGUGGUAGGGUUAUGAGGAGUGGGCUCUGGUUGGUUUCGAUUUGACCAAUGUCAUGGUUCGAUGGAAUCGAGGUGAUGGGGAUGAUUCAUGAGGUCACAACCACAAGAUGUAGGGCCUACGCGUGGGGUUUAGGGGUUUCACAUAGAGGCUUACAGAGGGAGGGGGUGCACACGUGAAUUGCAGAGGGAGAGGGAGAAAGAGGGGGAGUAGGGUUGCUAUAUUCAAGUUCUCUUUUUUAUUUUUACUUGAAUUUGAUUUGAUUCUUUUUUUUUUUUGCGACAGGUUGAGAAUGCGAAAGCUCAGCUGGAGGUGGAGGUGAGAAUUUUAAUUUAAUUCAUGGUAUAUCUUUUUUUUUUUGUGGGAUUGUGCUGUUUUUGGGAAAACAAUAUUAAAUUGAAGUUUAGAUAUUUCUGUAAUUGGGAUUUAGAGUAAGAGAUGAAGAACUAUAUGUGAUUGCAAAUUUAAAAGUUUAGAACUUUUUUGGUUUGGAAGCUAAUUUUAAAUUCAGCUAGCUGAUUAAUUAAUAGAGAAAUUAUAACGAAUGUGUGAUACGUUUUUCAAUGCGUAUGAGCAGACAUGGGUACUGCUUCAGCGGCAGCAGCUGCUAUAUGAUGGUAGAUGAGGAAUUCUGAGAUGCUGAGUGCUCUUAGUGUCAGAGAUGAAGACUUGAUAAUGAUCGUUCCAAUUCUGCCUCAAGGUAUACUUGAUAAUGUUGUCCUUUAUGUGCAAUUCACUGUAUGAUGCUCGUUCCUUUAAUGAGCCUGUCAAUAUAUUUCAAUGCACCCACCAAUUGGUUUUAUCAUCAUACAUCAUUCGUGAGAAAUGGGAUGGUGAGUUUCUCAAUACAGUUUUAAUUUUUGUGCGAAUAAUGUUUGUAAAAAGUCUGUUUUUAUUUAGUUCAUUGCAGAUUCUUAUUCUUUUAUUUAGUUCACGAUUCAUGCUUUUAAAGAUAAGAAGUGCAAGGCUCUCUCGGAUGUUAGUUUUGGGUGGCAAUUGAAAGAUACGAGGACAAACAAAAAUACCUACCAAUUGAAAGGAUAAAUUCAAUUGAAAAUAUUUGGUUCAUCAAUUAUUAUAGUUUGAGCUUUCUGCAUUAAAUGUCCAGUUUUCGGGAAGAGUGAUUCAUGUAAUUGGGUUUUAUUAAAAUUUUCAUGAUUUUAUACAGUUUUUCGUUUAAAUUUGUGGAUUCAUAAACACUUUUAUGAGUGUUAAUUUCUGUUCGUAUGUCUAAAAUUUGUUUGGAAUUUGGCUGUUUCUUCAAUUUCAUCACCACCUAUUCUCACAACUUCAUUUAAAGUGUUUUGCAUGUAUAAGAUUCAUAUUCAUGGAGGUCAUUUCAAACGGAUUUCAAGCUGAGCUGCAGAAAUUUGAUUCAAAUUGGUGGAUUUGGGUAAGAAACUAAGAAACCAUUAUCUUUUGUUUCGGUUUUAAGAACUGAAUUUAAUGGUUAAGUUUAUGUUUCAAGAUUAUCUUCCUUUCUCCUAAAUACUGAGUUUUAUGAGAUUACAUUUGGCAAGUCUGAAAACGGAUUAGAAAUACAGAGUUUUAUGAGAUCUAUUUGGCAAGAUUAUCUUCCUUUGUCCUAAAUACUGAGUUUUAUGAGAUCUAUUUGGCAAGUCUGAAAGUGGAUUGCGUAUGUUUAUAUCUCCCUUUCUUCUAAAUACUGAGUUUUAUGAGAUCACACCAUCUUAUGUUUAUUGUAUAAUCUUAUGCAGUCAGAAGAAUUAUCAUCUUUUUCCUUUUAGAUUUCAACAUAUUUGGAAAUACUUCAAAUUUUUUGUAGUGUAGUUUGUACUUGUAGUUUACAUGAUUACGUAAGUUCUAUUUCUUUAGUAAAUUUUUAUGCAGGAAAGAAAGUCAUUUCUCAGUUUAUAGUUAACAUGAUUACAUAAGUUAUGCUUAUCUUAUCAACCUCAUUCACUCGUAUGUUGCUCUGUUCAUUCAUGAUUGUGUUAAAUUUAUUCAGGUUAAAAGUGUCUUAUUCAUGCAGUUACGCAUGAAACAGUUGUUCCCGCGGCAACACGUGGGCUUAUUUUCUAGUUCCAAUGUAAACCUAGAGACGAAACGAGGUCAUAUAUUACAAAGACAUAUUCUAAAACAGCCUUAGCUCAGAGAAUAAAAAAAGGAAAACUAAUGAAAAUGGCUUGAAAACUUUGAGUUUUAACGAUAUGGACAAAAUAAAGGGUAAAGUGAACAGUAUCAGGUUUGACUUUUUAGUGUAAAAAUGUGAUUUUUCGUUAAAGUAAACAGUACAGCAGACUUUUCGUUAAAACUCCCAAUAAAAAAAACCAUGCAGUGAAAACAUCUAAGGGAAACGAGUUGAUCCUCAAUAAACGCCUCAAUAGAAUGACAUCUUUGUUAAAGCAUCUGUUAUAAAAUUAGCUUCAUCUAAAACAUGAUAGAAGCUGAUAUGAUCAAGCAUACCAUGUUUGCCAACAUAAAAGAAGGAUCUUUCCAAGUUUAGGAAGGUGGGAGUUGCCAAAGAGAAACCGAUUUGAGCCGCAUUUUCUUCAAAUAUCUCAGGCAAACGGUCGGCUGACAAAAUGCAGUCAAUGGCUUCAACAUCUUGAGAAUAAAAGGCACAACUAGGAUCAAUUGGUUGUACUUCAUAUAGGGAUAAGACUUGAGUCUCGUCUUUCACAUAUGUUUACUUGUUCAUUCCGGCCAUUAUAUGGUACAACACUGAACAUAGAGUACAACUUUUCCGGCCUCUAAGUCCGGAACCCUCCCAAACAUUGGACACUACAAUACCAAAAUAAAGCAAUAAAAUACAACAGUACAAUACAAUAUAGUUAAAAGCAAUCCAUCUUAGUACAGACUCAAUCGGAUGAAUCAACGGAGCCCUAGUGUUCAAGCUUCCAUCCUUGCGGUAAACUUAAGUGGUGGCUUCAAGAAAUGGAUAAUCAGUGUAACCAAUGACGGGAUCAGUGUGUAAAAUGUCUCUCUGUUGUACUUGUUUAGAGGAGCAUUAAGUUCAAAUCUCUUUGGCAAAUCCGGAUUCGCCAAGAAAAUACGGCCAUAAGCAAUAAGAUCUGCACGGCCCUCGCCCACAGCUCUGUUUCCAUCUUCCCUGUGAUAACUGUAAAUCAUUGUGUAUGUUGAUGAAGAAAGAAUAUGCAGGAAGAAAGACAGAGAGAAAUGUAGAAGAAUAAGAGAGUAAGAGAGUUUAGAGAGUAGAGAGAGAAUCAAGAAUUGUAUUUUCUUUCUAGUUAGUUACAACUGACUAUUACAACAUGUAUUUAUUUGUAUUGGUAGCUUACACUCUAAGCCACACAAUAACCACCUUAACUAACUCUUAUAUCACAGCUAUAGAAUCUUAGUACACCUAUCAUCCCCCCUCAAGCUCAGGGGCAGAGAAAUUGAGCCUGAGAUUGGCACAAUGAGUCUGAAAGAGUGGUGUAGAAAGACCCUUGGUGAGGAUAUCUGCAAACUGCUCAGUAGACGAUACAAACUGAACAUGUAGUUGCUGUUUUGCAACCCUUUCUCGAACAAAAUGGACAUCAACCUCAAUAUGUUUCGUACGUUGAUGUUGAAUUGGAUUGCAAGUCAGUGCAAUUGCAGACAGGUUGUCACAGAAAAGUAAUGGGGGCUCGGCCAAAGGAAUCUGCAAGAACGACAACAGAGAUUUAAUCCAAUCCAAUUCAGCCGCUGUAGUAGAGAGAGCUCGAUAUUCAGCCUCAGUUGAUGAGCGAGAGACAGUGUGUUGUUUCUUAUACAUCCAUGAAAUGGGAUUAGACCCCAAGAACACCACCAUUCCAGUUGUGGACCGUCUAUCGUUCGGAUCACCCGCCCAGUCUGCAUCACUAUAGGCAGUAAGAUCAAGGGAACCUCGAAUAUACUGAAUACCACAGCCUCGAGUAGCCUUUAAGUACCUAAGAAUCCGUUUGACAGCCAUAAAGUGGGAGUCCAUUGGUCGCUGCAUAAACUGGCAGACCUGAUGCACUGCGAAAACAAUGUCAGGCCGCGUAAAAGUCAAGUACUGGAGAGCACCAACCAAGCUCCUGUACAUUGUAGGAUUAUUAUAAGGCUUGCCAUCAUUGCUGAGAAGACGGUUGUAAGGCAAACAUGGAGUAUCACACGGUUUGGACAAUAGCAUAUCAGAUUUAGUAAGCAGAUCCGUAACAUACUUGUCUUGAGAGAGAAACAAACCAUUCUUGUUCUGUACAAUUUGAAUGCCUAGAAAAUAAUGAAGAGGUCCCAAGUCUUUCAUAUCAAACUCAUGAGUAAGAGCUUGAAUAACCUCAGUGAUAGCUUGUGGAUGGCUGCCUGUGAUGAUAAUAUCAUCAACAUACAACAACAGAAUCACCACAUAUGUGUCAACAGUUUUUACAAAUAAAGAUGAAUCUGCAAAUGUAGACUUGAACCCUAAGGAAGGUAGAAAAGUAGUGAACCUUUCAUUCCACCUGUGGUGCCUGUUUCAACCCAUAAAGCGAUUUAUGUAAUCGACAAACAUAAUCUUCAUGUUUAAGAUCAACAAACCCAGGUGGCUGUGUCAUGUAGACCUCUUUCUUGUAAAUAUGCCAUGGAGGAAGGCAUUUUUCACAUCUAAUUGUCUCAAUGUCCAACCAAAGUUUGCUGAUAAAGCUAGAACGAUUCUCACUGUUGUAGGUUUAACAACAGGGCUAAAAGUCUCUCCAUAAUCGAUUCCUUCUUCUUGAUUAAAGCCUUUUGCCACCAGCCGUGCCUUAUACCUCCCAAUUGAGCCAUCAGCAUUCUUUUUUAUCUUAUAUACCCAUUUACACCCGAUUAAAUUCUUGUGACGGGGCAAUGGAACCAAUGACCAUGUUCCCUGAUUAUGCAAAGCCAAUAUCUCAUCUUGCAUAGCAUUAAACCAAACUGGGGAUUUCAACGCAGACUUAUAUGUUGCAGGUUCCACUUAUGUCAAAUCAACCCCCCCAUGUUCAUGAACCUGAGCAAGUAAAGCAAGCUUCUUAAUAAUACCACUUUUGGAUCGUGUCUGCAUAGGAUGGAAGUUCACUGGGGGAACAGAGAGAACCACUUGGAGCUGCUCAGGUUGGAAUUCAGGUACCACAGGAGGUGCAGGGGAGAAGGGUUGUGUAGUUGGAGAAGUAAUGGAAUGAGUAGCAGUUGAAUUUCCUGCACUGUCAGGUGAACCUGUAAUUGGAACCGUAGUGGAGGCUGCUGAAAGUUGCUGGAGUACCAGAUUUGGCAUGCCACUAGAGAUAGAAUCUGAGCUUAAUGAUGCAGGACACUCAGUGUAGGGAUUAAGUGACUCGUGUAACACAAGUACAUUACUAUGAUUAGGAACUGGAAUUGGUGUUUGAGAAUGUGAUGGAGGUGGUGAAAUAGUGGUACAGUGAGAUUUAGAGACCAAAGAACGAUAAGGAAACUCUGUCUCAUCAAAUAAAACAUGUCUAGAAAUAUACAUUUUGUUUUUAGAAGCAUCAUAACAAAGAUAGCCUUUAUAGUUAGAUGCAUAUCCCAAAAAGAUACAUUUUGCAGUGCGGGGAUCUAACUUGGUAUGAGUAUAAGGCCUUAACCAAGGAUAACAAGAACAGCCAAAUAUUUUCAAAUGUGUUAUUACUGGUAUGGAAUUGUGCAGCAAUUGAAACGGAGAUAAAUUUCCCAAGGAAGAAGAUGGCAUUCUAUUAAUGAGGUACACUGAGGUUUUGCAGGCAAAAGACCAAAACACUGAGGGUAAGGAAGCAGACUGUAGCAAAGCAAUGGAAAUUUCAAUAAUAUGCCUGUGUUUUUGUUUAGCUAUUCCAUUCUGUUCGGGUGUGUAAGGACAGGAAAGUUGGUGCUUAAUUCUUUUAUCAGACAAAAAUUGUUGAAAUGCUUUGUUUAUGUAUUCACCACCACCAUCACUGUGAAGAGUUUUAAUGGCUACUUGAAACUGAUUUAAGAUGAAAUUGUAUAAAGAAACAAAUAUACCCGAAACAUCACUUUUAUUGCACAUGGGAAAAAUCCAGCAAUAUUUUGUACAAUGGUCAAUGAAAGUGACAUAAUAUCUAAAUCCAUCUAGAGACACACAAGGAGCAGGACCCCACACAUCACUGUGAACAAGAUCAAAAGGUUUUACAGAUUUAUCUACGGAGGAAGGAAAUGGGAGUUUACUGAAUUUGCCCUCUAAACAUGGGUGACACAGUGAAGGUGUUUGAUCAGCAACACAAAGAACAUGUGAGGAUUCUAAAAUGCGGGAAACAAUUGAAUUAGAGGGAUGACCUAAUCUCUUAUGCCAAAUACUGGUAGUAACUUGUUGUCCCAGAAAAGCUGCAAGGUUCCUUUUGUGGAUGACUGCAGGAGAACUUGGUGAGAUGAUCGGAUACAAACCAUUGUUACACAGCCCUUUGUAAAGCACCCUCCCUGUGGCUUUGUCGUGAGAGAUAGCUAAACCUUCACCAUUUGCAGUCUGAAUAGUCUCAUUAGACGGAUAUGGAGUGGACAAGGAAAGAUUUCCCAAGUCUGAAGUCAUAUGAUUAUUUGCACCUGAAUCAGUAAGCGAAAUUUGCUGCUGUGGAGGAGGAGAUGGCACUGAGAAAGAAGGAUUAGGACCAUUGAGUGUUGCAGCAUGCAUAGCACUCAUUUGAGGAUUGGCAUUCUUUUGAAAACAUGUUUCUGCAGUAUGAUUGGAGUUCCCACAAAUAAAGCAGCCUGAGGGACCACUUGUAUUUCGAAAUCUACAGGUAUCAGCCAUAUGGUUGUGCUUCCCACAAAUUUGGCAACCUUGUGAAACAUUCAUGUUUCGAAAACGACAUGUAGAAGCCAAAUGAUUUGACUUCCCACAUAUUUGACAAAGUUAAGGCUGAAACCCAUAAAUCUGUGUUCUUGGCGGAGAAGCACCAAGAAUGCCAGGUGCAGGAUUUGAAGAGAAGUUCUUUUUAUUACCAUAUCUCGGAUUGAAUUAGAACCAAAACGAUUUCUGCCUUUACCAUUGUGAUUAAAAGACCUGUAUGCAUUUGUAUUGGAACUAGGAUAAUUUCCACCAGAACCUGAAAAAGACUGAUUCUUGGACACCAAGUCAUUGUUCUGUGCCAUUAGUGCAGACAAAACAGGUGAUGCAGAAAUGGUUUCAAUCAAUGCUUCUUCAGCCAACAAUUGAGAACGAAGAUCUUUCAACGAUAUCACAGUUUCACGACCCCGAAUCACAGAUCUUAUAGUAUUAAAUUCAGCAGGCAGACCAUUCAAUGUAAGAAUCACCAUAUCAUCAUCAUCAAAGAAAACACCAGCAGCAAAUAGUAAAUCCCGUGCUUCUUUAAUCUUCUGCAAAUACACAGUGAUAGAAUCAUUACCCUUCUUUAUAUUUUGCAGUUCAGAUUUGAGUUGAAAGAUACUGGUUCUUGUGAUAGUUGAGAACUGUUCUUUAAGCCUAGUCCACAAUUCUUUGGAACUGGUACUACCAAUCGCACAAGAAAUCCCAGCAGGGGACAAGGUUGCAGUGAUCAACUGCAUUAAUGCUUUAUCAUGCAUCUUCCAUACUCUGUAAUCAUCCGAUUGAACUUGGGUAGUAGAACCCCCAGAUAAUUCUUGGCAAAAUUGGUCAGGACAAGGAAUCGAGCCAUCAACAAACCCAAUUAUACUAUGGCCUUCAAGCAGGAGCUCCAUCUGAAAAUGCCAAGCCAAAUAAUUUGUUUCAUCCAACUUCACAUUAACUGAACUUGAAACCGACGAGAUCAAAGAAGCAAUCGGAGACUGAAGAAUAUGUAACUGAGUAGCAGUCACCAUUGUUACCAAUUAGGAGAAAAAUCCCAAGAAAUCUUGACAGAGGAAUAACCACAAACACUUGGUGGGUGUACUUUGAUCGAGAACGAAUCAAAGGAAGAAGAAGACUAAACCAGCCCAAAUUUUAACACAAGAAAUCACAGCAAGGAGAAGUAAUAGGGUAGAAGCGGAAGCAACCAUAACCAAGAUCGAAAUCCGUCAAGCUUUCAUGCUUGUUCCGGCGAUGAUACCAUGUAAACCAUUGUGUAUGUUGAUGAAGAAAGAAUAUGCAGGAAGAAAGGCAGAGAGAAAUGUAGAAGAAUAAGAGAGUAAGAAAGUUUAGAGAGUAGAGAGAGAAUCAAGAAUUGUAUUUUCUUUCUAGUUAGUUACAACUGACUAUUACAACAUGUAUUUAUUUGUAUUGGCAGCUUACACUCUAAGCCACACAAUAACCACCUUAACUAACUCUUAUAUCACAGCUAUAGAAUCUUAGUACACCUAUCAAUAACCACCACCAGCAAUGAAGGUACCAUGGAAAGCCUUUCUCAUGGGAAGAAGACUCUGGUGGGUUUCAGCUUUUUCUCCUAAUGUCUUCAUCCUCGGCUCAACCAUGUGGCAGUACACGAUUCCAUAUUUGUUCAAGGCAUUGGCCAUAUAGAGGCCUAAUUCUUUUGGAUUUGAAUCCCCUGAGUCCAUAUAGUCAGCAAAUGGAGAUAAUCUAAUUCCAACUUUAUCUGCUCCUAUUUCGUUAGCGACAGCUUCAACAACUUCCAGAGGAAGGCGGCAACGAUUCUCUAGAGAUCCACCAUAUUGGUCUGUUCGAUCAUUCACAUGAUCUUUCAGAAACUGAUCAAGAAGGUAGCCAUGCGCCCCAUGAAUUUCAACUCCAUCGAAGCCUAUAUAGCAGAUUAACAAUUUCAACAUACUGACGGUAUUAGAACCCUAAGCAUUGUCGCUGAAUUACCAAACAAAUAAUAUAAAGACAAACUACCGGCUUCAAUAGAAUUCCUUGCAUAAGCUUUGAAGCAAAUUGAGUUGUUGUAAAUUAUGUUUCAUAUGUAACGUAAAGACAAAUUACCAGCUUCAAUAGAAUUCCUUGCAGUAAGUCUAAAAUCAUUGACAAUUUGCGGAAUUUCAUCCGUCCUUAAUCGUCUUGGAGGCGUGAAUUCAGAAGCAUCGAUGCCAUUUAAUCGUAUCGGCUUGUCAGUAGAAGAUAUGGGAGCUUGCCCAUUUGGUUGAUAACCUGUAAGCAAGGAGAGAGAAUUACAACCUGAAGUCUAACGACAGUAACUAACAUCCACAGCAGCACUCUUUUAAGUGGGAAUCCUUUGUUACAAAUUACUAUAACCACACGUGCUAUAUACUAGUUCUGAAUUCUGAGUUAUGUUAACAUCAAGCUUCUUCCCAUCCAAUAAUAAUAAUAACAAUGCUUCCGAAGCAGCAAAGUCAUAACAAGUCCAACUCGGAACUUAACAAGUCCAAGUUUUAUCGUCAUUUUGAGCAACAAUGUUGUCAAUUAUAAUCACUAGCUCGUUCUGAUGCAUACACCAUUAUGUUAUACAUCAAACUUCUUAAUCGGUCUAAUUAUUCACUCAUGUUAACAAAGCAUACUAUGGUAAAAGUG
This 53170-nucleotide long non-coding RNA is filed under the name Malus domestica (apple). RNAcentral describes it as "long non-coding RNA (MDOM_LNC015852)". Lineage: Eukaryota; Viridiplantae; Streptophyta; Magnoliopsida; Rosales; Rosaceae. The record is from RNAcentral.